AUCUGUUGUGUCUGUUGAUCUUGAUGAUGGGAAGACGAAGAACUUGGAACUUGGAAAGCAAGGAAUACGUUUAGUAUCUCCGAAGCAAGACUGUUGACUGCUAUUAAAAUUGGUUAUUAGAUGCAGCGUAUGUUGCGACUUUGGAUGACAAGAGCAUGAGCAACUGCUGAUUCCCAGAGUUGUUCCUCAAGGUUACUGCACCCUGCAUUGUGUGUUUUCUGCAACUUAUCUGACCUUUGGUUUCCGGAUUUCCAUGUAAGGCAUUGGUUUGGUUCUGUUUUAUUGUCACCUUUCGUUUCCCAGUUUAUAGAUUCUCUUUUCUGGUCAGAGGUUGAACACAGUUUUUGAGCCUUUUGGUGGCACUUUAAAUUAAUCUUGUUGGGUUUACCGUUUCAAUGUAAAAUUUCUAGAGAUUAGAAAGUUCUGCUGUUACUGGUAUUAACUCAGAGUAGAUGUCGUUGUUAUACUAUAAUAUAUAUAUUAUAGCCAGCUGAGCUCUUUUCAAUAUGAAUCGACAGAAAUCACCAUGAUACUACGGUAAAUUCCAUUAGAUAUAAUCAGCUUGAGGACUUUGGCAACAGAUCAUUUGAGGCUCUUGGGACAAUUUGUGUCUAUGGUAUGGGCCCAUGAGGGUACUUGUAAGAGUAGUUUUCACAACAGAGGCACUUUAAUCCCUAGUUACCAAACAUAGUGAUAGUUUGGCUAAUUAUUAGUAACAAGAUUUGUGUUGUGUCAUUGAUGCUAUUUUUUAAAAUUCAUGUUGUAUCAAUAUACAACAUGCUGAAAUUAGUAGUAUAUCUGUGAUAGAACAACUCACGUUGUAUCACUGUAUUAGUUUAUUAGUGUCCCGCGAUCGUAAAUUCAAACUAGAAGGAUUUUUAGAUACAAUCCCAGAAACAUGACGAAUUAGUAUCGUUAUUUUUAUGUGUGUAUGUUAGUACUAGCUAUUUUGCAAGGUUUGAAAACAAGGCUUUCUCUUCCGCAUAAGUUUAUAUUUUCAUAUGAUAAUAUUACAUAAGUUAUAUUGUGGUCGUUCUUUUUCCAUUAUUGAUGGUGAAGGAUAUUAUUAGUGUAUUAGAGCUCUCUUCCUUCAUUUAUGACAAUGACCACGAUUAAGGUCAUAAUAACAAUUGGGAACACAACGUUUUCUAGAUGGAAGUUUGUCUUCUCUAGAAAAAGAACUAUUAACUAGUAGGUCAAUUUUCGUCCUUUUUUUUCUAUCAUAUUUAUUAGAGGAAAUACAUAAUUACCCCAUUGAACUUGGACCUUAUUUUGAAGUAGACACUUAAAGUUUGCGAAAGUCCUAUUACCCCAUUAAACUAUUUUCGAUCAGACUAAAUAUAGCAUUUUGAUCCGCUUCCGCAUCUGCUAUGUUUUCACGUUUUCGGGGCGCGUGAGUAUUUUAAAAAACAACCCCAAACCAAUAUAAAGCAGCCAUGUGGCAUUGUAAAUUGAAUUCUUUAUUUAUUUUUUUAAAACCCAUCUUCCCCAAAAUUAAUUCAAACACCAUUGACAGCCAUUGAAGCUUGCUACAGUGUCAUGGCGAGUAAGGACUGCAAUAUCUCUCUAACUUUGAAUCAAUUUCGCAAGAUGAGUACUGCAUUAAUUCAUCAACAACCUUCGAAUUUCUGACUUUUCAAUAAAACCCAUUUUCAAAAUAUAUGAAUCACUACAAAAUUCACUUACAAUGUAAAAUAAAUAAAAAAUUCAAAGAUUUUUCAAAUAACUAAUCUAUGAGCCUUCACUUCUUCGUUCCGACACCACGAUUCAACAAAUUUCAACCAGCAAUGUUACCAACUAGCUUCGCCUCAUGAAGUUUCUUAGGGUUUUGAUCGGUCGAAGAGAGAGACGAGGGUAGGUGAAAGUGAAAUGGGUUGGAAGUUUCUUAGGAUUUGGGUUAUGGGUUAAAAAAUGAAUGGGUUAGGAUAAAACCCGGCACUUGUUAAAUGGGUUGGAGGUGUGGCACACGCUCUUGGAUUGUGAGCACUGAUGGUGAAGAAAUGAUUUAUUUAUUGUGCUUUUGGAUGGUUUCGUGGGGUAAUAGGACCCCCACAAACUUAAGGUGUCUACUUAAAAAAAAGAUAUAAGUUCCAUGGGAUAAUUAUGUAUUUCCUCUAUUUAUAAAUCAUCAUAUUUUAUCUGGCCACAAAAAAAAAUGAAAUUAGUGUAAAAAAUUAUUUGAACCACAUCUCUCGAUAUUAUUGCAAAAGCGCAUUCCUGGCAUGAAGUGUGGUAAAGAUUUUUUUUUUCUAGCAUAUCAUUGUUAGUGAUAUUCUCACCAUAAAUUUCAACUGUGAAAUAAAUUUAAACAAUGAAAAACUAUACUUAUAAAUAGAUUUUUAAAAUGCAGCUUUAAAUAGAUCCAGUUUAAAAGUGCUUAUGCAAGAAUGACCAUCUUCUUCUGAUCAUAUCAUCUUUUAGAUUAUUUAACAAUAUAAAGAAAAUUUUAACAAUGAAAUAUUUCAUUUUCAAGUCCCAAUUAAGAUGAUGGCAAAGAAACAUGUUUGCUUUGACAUUAUCGUAUUUUGAUACCUGAUUAUUAUUUUUGAUGGUGUCUGCAAGAUCAUCCCAGUAAAAUGAAUUUUAGUAUCAAAUAUAUCCAAAACAAUAAAUUUACAUUUCGAAAAAGUUAUCAUUAGUUAAGAAAAACAAAAUAGAUACCUUCAAAGUUUUGUAAGAAUUUGCUUGAUAUGAUAUAGUCUCAUUUUGAUAAUGUGUUGUAUAAUAUAGAUCAUUAAAUAAAUACAUUAUAUUAUACAUAUAUAUUAUAUAUCAUAUAUCAUAUAUCAUAUAUCAUAUCAUAUAUAUAUAUAUAAAUAUAACAGAGAACUUUCGACCCGCCUACGUGGCGCUAUCACAAAUAAGAAUUCUCUUUUAAUUUAUUUAUUUACAAAACUAGCCUUCUCCUUUCAUGAAAAGUUGUGAAAUUUAUGAAAAAUUACAACUUUAAUGAAGAGUUGCGGCUUUUAUGAAAAGUUGUGAUUUUAAUGAAGAGUUGUGACCUUUCCGAAGGGUUGCAACUUUUCCAAAUAGUUAUAACCUUUAAGAUAAAACACAAUAAAUAUUUGUUCACACUACCUUUUGUUGUCUAUAAAUAGAGGAAUUUUCUCUCAUUUUAAAACAACAAAAAUUCUGAACCUCUUUUUCUUCUUCACAAUUAAAUAUUUGUGCACUUUGCUCCUGCAGAUCCUGGUAUGUAUUUUUACGGUCAUUAAUUUUUACUUAUGUUAUUAAGGAUAAAUGAUAAGAUGUAAUAAUUUUUAUUUUUCUUUACAUUAUUAAUGUUUGUUACUACGUAAUCUUGUAUGUAAGAUAAUAUAGUGUUUUAGUUUUAAUGACUGAUAGGUUUUAAGUAUUAUUUUAUAAAUUUCAUGAUAUUAAAUUUCCACGCAAAGUGCGGGUAAUUUUACUAGUUAUAUAUAUAUAUAUAGAGAGAGACUAAUAUAUUGUUCAAUUUCAAAUUAACCUACUAAUAAAUUGAAUUAACUUUGAAAAAUAGAUUUGCAAGCGUAGAACCUUAUUUAACAUUACCAUUAGUGUUUUUUAACCGAGAGAGGAAAAAAGAGGGAGAAAGAUUUGCAAGCCUAGAACCUUAUUUAACAUUACCAUUGUAGCUACGGUUUUGUCUUCUCCAACUGCAAACUGGAUUCGCCUCAGAAGUAGCUGCAGCAUCAUUUCUCUGCUUCCAUGUAAAACCCUAAACCCUAAGCUUCUUAGUUUUUCUUGUUUCGUUCUUGAAUUCCCUAAUUUCUGUUUGUUCUGGUCCUUUUUCAAAAAAAAAUUAGUUGAGCCAGUAUAUCAAUUUUCCAGUUCCUGGCAGUUCAUCCUUAAUCUAAUGAUCCAAGUAUUGCUUUUGGCUUAUAUUGAACUAGGUGGAUUUAUGUCUUCAUUUAUUCAGUAAAUUAUCUAUUUGUGUAAAUGUUUCAAAAUGCCUGUGUUGUAUAAUAUCAUGUCCUCUUGUGUAAUGCCUAUUUCAAAAUGCCUGUGUGGAAAGUUUCAUAAAGAGCAGCCCACGCUGGACUUAAGAGGGAAGAAGAAAUCUACGGGAAGUUCAAGCAAGACACUCCUCCUUGGUUCAGGUGUGUGCAUACAGAAGUCUAAUUUUCUCUCUUUACAAAGUUAAUAUGCUCCCUAAUAUUUCUUUACUUAAUAGAAUAAUAAAAAGAGCCCCUAAUAUUUGUAAGCCUUUGUAUUUAAACAGUGUUGCCCUCUUGAUGGAAUGGACCGAUAACCAUUACAGAACUUUGGCCUGUUUUAUCUCAGAAAAAGGUGUGGCUCUACACAGAAAUGCUUGCUGCCGAAACAAUUGUCUACCAGACUGGCAAUUUGGUAAAGUUCUGCUGCAUGGAAUAAGACUCUAAUGCUUCUCUACCCAACCAUAAAGUACCUUUUUGUUUCUCACUGAUGAGUAGAGCCAAGCUAAAAGAAGAGAAUCGUACGAGUUAAUCCUUUCUUCAUAUUCUAAACAAAAAGAAAUGAGAAAGAGAUGAACAUAUAUGUGCUAUGUAGUAUGUAAAGGCUCACAAUUACAGAGGAUUCAAACUCGUCUACGAUAAUUUAACUCAAAUGUACCGGUUAAAAUUUUCACUUAAUGUGCAUAAAUCAAAAUAUCCUAUUAUUUUGCCCAUUUGUUUUAAGUCACGAGACAGUGAAAUAGUCAAAAGUUACUUUCUUUAAUCUUGAUCCUCUUGCUGCCAGCCCCAAUUUUCAUGAUAAAAGGAAAUAGUUGGUGUAUGUCUCUGUGGUUAUAUGCCUACUUUCUAAAUGAUGUGAACUGACCUUCUACAAAGUGAAGCUUACAGUUAACACUUCUAUAGAUGGCACCUGACACUUGUAUUUGAUUUACUAAAUCAAUGAAUCCUACUGUUUUUAUAUCAAUUACUAUAGAAUCUUUGGGUUGUCUUUCAAGGGCCGAGUUAGCCAAAUUGGUUGGUCAUUUUCAUUUCCCUAAACUAAGAUCCUUGUCCCAGUUAGAUGGUUUCCUAAAAAAGGAAUAUUUAUUUCUUUGUUGUGAAAUACGUGGCAAAGAAGGGACCUAGAUGAUAUAUUAUUGUAACCUGGUAGAUCUUCAAAAGGAACUUUCUUGUACUGAUAUGUUAUUGCGCUUGCAGCUUGGACCUUUAAGAGCAGCUUGUCACUGGCUAAUGCUUAUGUGUUUCUAUCGUGCAGUGAAAUCUGACAUUUAUGUGAUUUUUCUAAUAUACCAGGAUAGAUUCUUGGCAUAUGGCCCUGAGCAGCAUCCUAUAGUGCUGCAAAUUGGGGGAAAUAAUUUGAAGAAUUUGGCCAAAGCGACACAACUGGCAACUCCAUAUGGCUAUGAUGAAAUUAAUUUUAAGUUCGUUCUGCUUUUCCUAUCUAAAAUAUAAGUUUCUAGCUUUUAUUUAGACCCAUAACUGAUACUUUUUCUGUUUUAUUUAACAGUUGCGGAUGUCUUAACCCCAGAGUCGCUGGACAUGGGUGUUUUGGUGUGCGCCUCAUGCUUGAUCUGUAGGUUAAGAUUUCCUUGCUUGAUACAUCAAAUAUAUUAUUUAUCUGUAUGGUUGCUAGGACAUGUGCACAACUUCUACAAGGAAAGUUUUAUGCUGCGUCCAUGUGCAUAAUUGCUGCAAAUACAAAUCUUCCUGUGAGUGUCAAAUGCAGAAUUGGACUUGAUGACCAUGACUCAUACAAUGAACUAUGUAAGCUCUUCAAACUUUCCCUUCCUCACAGGAAAUGAGAAUCAAAAUUCAAUUCUUCAAUGAUCAAUAUUUUGAUUUGGGCCUUCUUUCUCUUGUCUUGUGGGUUACAACUCCUAAUUUUUGUCCCGGCCUUGCUUCAAAAAAAUCAUCAAAAUUGAGCUCCUUUAGUUUCUGUAUAAUAUAUUUCCAAGCAGGUCUUUGCCGACCUUGUAAUUGCUUGGACUUUCAAGUAGAUCUUAGAGAGCUGACAAUAACUUGUAACUAUGAACUAGAAGCAUAUUGCAUGACCACUUAACUCGGAGCAGAAGCCAUGUCCCCCAAAACCCAUAAUUGGUGGGAACUUGAAAAUAUUUAAAAAUCAGAUUUUCUAAAUCUGAUCAAAUUUUAUGGUCAAAUAAAUUUUGAAAAUCUACUCUCAGUGACCAUAAGUAUUUUUCUGAAAGUUUUUCUUCUUUUCUUUUUAAAACCUUUUCCUUUUUUUCCUUUUUUGACUUUUUGCCACUACUAUACAAACAAUCAUGGAUUCUAUUAACAUUAUGAAAACUUCAAUGGGCCAAAUGUGAAUUUUGCUUCACCUUAUAAACAAACUUGUGUAUACACCUCAGAAGUCACGCCCAUCCCCUUUUCUCUCUCUCUCUCUCUCUCUCUUUUUCCCCCAAAUGAGCUUUUCCCCAAUUUAAGCUCUUGAAGAAUUCCUCAUACACAAAAAAAUUUAUCUCGCGUAUGGCCUUUCACACAGCAUGCCCAUUUACCUGGUACUACAUUCUUUUAUUUUUGUAAAAUUUGUUUAUAAUUUUGUUUAUUUAUCUCUUUUAUUAUCACUCUUUCUCUCUACUCUCUCUUAUCUAGGCCAAGCCGCCAAGGAUCCAAAUGGGGUUCUUUGUUUUAUGGUUUUAAGUUGUUUACUGGGGUUUAUAUGACCCAUUGAACGUUUUUAGAUGUGGGUUUUGGAGUUUUUGUGGUGUAGCUGGAGGAUCUGCUAUCUAUCUCUAUCUUUAUCGAUGGAUGUGAAAUCGGGUUCUUGGUUUUGUGUUUUGUUGUUUUCUUUUGAAUUUCUGAUCCAAUUGAGUGUUUUGGCAUUUUUUGGUGCAGUCGAAAGAUCUGCUUCUGCCCAGAUGGGUUUCCAAAGGGUAAAAAUGAGUUCUUCAGCGAUGUGACUAAACUUGAGGAGUUUCUCAAGGACCCAUGGGGUCUUAAGGCCAAACAACCUGCCACAAUUCAGGUUAAAGUGCCCAAGCUUAAUGUUGCUCUGCCCCCACAAGCGCCUGUAGGUGAUGGGGGUGGCGGAAGCAGCGGGGAUGGUGAGGAGGCGGCUGCUAUUGGUUCAGCUAAGACUAAGCGUGUUGCUUUGCAGAAGAAAACUGCUGCAGCAUCUAUGGUGGCUGAUGAUUUUGCUAGACAAUUUGAGUCUGGAGAUGUGGAGGUUAGGAACCGCAGUUCUAAAAAACGUAGGUUUGCAUGACUUUGUAUGUGGAAUGUGAAAAUUAUGAUUGUUUAAUCAAUCGACUUCUCUGUUGUCCUAUUUAACGUAGUCAGGAUAAUGACAUAGAUGGUCGCUGAGAUGAUCUGUUUUCAGAUCACUUGUCUGUUUAUAUUUCGUGUGGAUUGUAUGCCAUGACUAUUGUGUUUCUUUUUAUUUGAAUGCUGGCUUCUUCUGUUGAGGGAGAAAAGAGUUUAUGUGGUCCACAAAAAGGUAUAGACAUUCUGCUUUGUAUGAAUAGUUUCAGGGUACUUGAUAAGUUAACUCCAUAUUUACAUUUUAAACUUUUAAGUGUUUGUAUAGUAUUCCACUAUAGGAGAAAAAAAGAUACACAAAUGAUUUAGCCUGUUCUGAUGUUUUCUCUCAAAAGAGAAUGAAUUUUCAUGGUGCUUCCUAUAGGAUUGAGAAAUUUAUGAGUUAUUCAGUAGUACAACUCUUCAUGAAGCUUGCCUCACUCAAGACAACCUUAAGAAAAUGAAUUUUCAGACAUGAAACAUCUAUUGGCAAUCUGAAAAUUCCUUUUCUUAAGGUUGUCUUGAGUGAGGCAAGCUUCAUGAAGAGUUGUACUACUGAAUAACUCAUAAAUUUCUCAAUCCUAUAGGAAGCACCAUGAAAAUUCAUUCUCUUUUGAGAGAAAACAUCAGAACAGGCUAAAUCAUUUGUGUAUCUUUUUUUCUGAUCUUUUUUAGGAGCUUAGUCUUCCAUAUCAACUUCCUUGGCCAGUUAUCAAGCACUUCAUUAGGAGCAUAUGAGUUGCAUAGCCUGCUUUCACCGAGUAUAUACUACCUUGUCACUGCCCCACCCUAACUUGUCUGCUUCCCUGGCAUUUAUCACCUGGCCUUCUAGCCUAAAAAACAACUUGACCACUUCUUCGAUUUCCCGGUCUUGUAGGUUCCUUCUGAAUAGAACAUUCCAGGUGUUGUCUUCCCUAUUCUGAGAGAUGGAAGAAUUUGGUUCACAUGCUAUUUGAAAUAGACUUGGGAAUUCCUCCAUCAUUGUCCAGCUACCUAUCCUUCCAAAAUCUGAUAUGUAUACCAUGACCUAUUCUGCAUCUUCUUGAGGCCAACAUUGAAAUUUCUUAUUACUUAUAAAAAAAAAUGCCUAGAAUGUACACACCCUUAAUUCAGGUAAUAGAUCAUCUUUGAAAAUUCCUUUUCCUUGAGAGAGACGAAAACGUUUAGUGAAGGCUGUUAGUUAAAUGCAUUUUAGUCACACGCUUCAAUCUCUACUUUUUGGGCUACAUUUAAGUUAUUUGGCUAUAAUGACUUGAGAGUGUGAUAAUGUUCUGUGAAGUGGACAACUUUAAACAUAAUGCUCUAAGUUUUUUUUGGUUGAUGUAUUGCAAUAAUUAGCAUUAAUAUCAACAUAAAACCCCGCAAAACAUAGUACAGUAAGGGGUCGUUUGGUAGGGUGUAAAAAAAUAAUGCUAAAUAGAGUGUAUUAGUAAUACUUGUAUUAGUUAUGCUUGCAUUAAUUAUACAUAGAUUGUUUGGUUUGGUUAUUAAAAAUAGCAUGCAUUGCAUAAAAAUAUUUAUUUACAAAAAUAUCCUCCACAAUUACGGUGGAAAAAAUGUAAAAAGGAUUUUGAGGUGUCGUUGAGUCUUUAACCCUGCUAAUGCAUGCAUUAGUCCCCUUGCAUUACUAAUACGUAGAAAUCCAUGGUAUUAGUAAUACACAACUUAAUACACAAUAGAGUGUAUGUAACUAAUACAAGCAUUAGUUAUACAUAACAUAAAAAAGUAUACCAAACAAGGUAUUACUAAUACACAGAGCUAAUGCAUGUAUUAUUUUUGUUAAUGCACUCUACCAAACGACCACUAAUUGGUUGGCCACAUGAAAAAAGUUAGUCAAAGUAUAACUAAUACAAAGUUGGUUGGCGGCAUUAGAGAUCCAAUCAAAUAUUGGUGAUGAAUCCCUCUCCCCCUUUUUCUCUUUUUCCCUAAACAAUUCCUGCAUUAAGUUGUAUGAAACAUUUAUUAUUUAAUAUGGAAUAGAAUGUGGAAGAAGAAUACAUAUAUUCGCAAUGUGGGGAUUAAACUAGCUCAAGACAAAAUGCCCUUUUAAAGUAAGUAAUUCAUGUAUAACAAUCUUCUCGCUAUUAAUGAUCGCACUAACAAUCCCAUCAUUAUUAAUCACCAUAUAAACAAUUCCUCCCCACAUAACUAGCAUGCCAACCAAGUGACCUGUAAAAGUAAAGGUCUGCUAGUGCUCCAAACAACAUUUGGAUUUAAAAUCUAAAUAACGGUUGGGAUGUUUCUUUUGUUGUUCCUCCAAUUCAACCAAAUACAUUUUGUCACUCACCAGCAGAAUUUUCGUAUUCUAAAGGUGCACUGUUACUGUACAUGUAAUAACCCCUUUUCAUCCCUCAUUCUACUGAUAUUCAUUUCUUUUUCUCUUGGGGGUGUGGAGGCUGGGAGCUGGAAUUAUAAAUUAUUACAUGAUAGUAUUCAAUCUUUUUAUUUACAAAUAAAUAUCUGCCCUCAGGGCUCUAUGAAAGAUGUUGGUGGAGAAGAACAGGGUCUAUCGAAUGUCAAAGUGAUGUGCAGGCUAUGCUUUUCCAGUGAAAAUGAAGGAGGUGAAAGAACAAGGAAAAUGAUGUCAUGCAAAAGUUGCGGGAAGAUGUAUCACCGAAGCUGCCUGAAAGCUUGGGGUCAACAUAGAGGUACUCUUAUUGGCCUCAAGAUUUGUCAGUUUUUAGUGUUGUACUUUUGCUAAUAUGCCCCUUCCUAUAGAUCUCUUCCAUUGGAGUUCAUGGAGAUGUCCCUCAUGCCAGCUUUGUGAGGUAAAACUUUUGAUUCAUUUCAAUAAAAUAAUGAAACAUAGUUGGUUUUGCUUUUUAAUAACUGCCUAAAACAUGACAAUUGUACGCUGAGUUGCUUUCUUUUUCUUUUUUGUGAACAAGUAGGUCAAAGCUAAUUCGACAAGACAUUGAAUUUUAUUACCUAACAAAAUGGAAAUAAUAAAUUAAUCAGAGAUAUCCCUAAUUUUCUUUGCUAGCCAUAUGUAACAACCGGAGGUUUUCAUAUUUAGGCAUUUUCGGUCCUAACCUGCUGCCAAGACCUAUGAGAGAUCACCCAUGUCAGUUUUGACCCAUAAAUCUUGGGGCAAGGUACACUGAUUAAAAAAAAGAUCCUGACUAAGGUGGAUGUCAAAACUAUGGAAAGAAGUUUUUUUCAACAUCUCUAUGUGUCGGCAUGGACAGUCAAUUGAGAAAAGAUAUUGCUUUUAAGGCAAUGCUCUUAAAUGAAUCCGUCCAUAUGUGUAUGGUGUAUGACAGUCAAUGGAGAUGGCGAAACAGGUAGAAUUUGACCCAUGGCCCCACUUAUACACAAACCCAUUAGCUACUAAUCAUACACUUGCCAUCUCAACUACCUUUUGUCCUGUAAGAAACAGGGAAGACUACGUUCCGCCAGAUCAAGUGGACCCAACUCAGAUAAGCGCCAUGUCAAAGCCAAAUUAGCUGCAAGCAAUAAUAGCUUAUAAUGAUAAACCCACGUUGAAACCCCAAUCCCUGGUUGUAAGAAGUUAUUUAAUGACACUAGAUGAUUUCUUGAGUUGUUAGACAGAGUUACCUGGUGGAAGGUACCUUGUGGAAUUAAUCCGUGCAAUCAGGGUGCCACAGUUAUUUUAAAAGAAGUCAUUUAAUGUGAAAUGAGUCACUAUAGUUCCGUUUUUUCCAUGUUUCACUUUUUAUGGUGUAAAGUUUGUCAUGUCAGUUUGCAAGGUGUCACUGAAUCAGAUUAGAUUUUCUUUUAUCCCCCCCGCCCUUCUGUUUCUCCAGCUUUCUUUUUUGGUCUUUGUGCUUUUGUCCUUGUGUUCUUUGGUGACUUCAAUUGUAGUUUUUUUUUUGAGAAUUCAGAUAUUUUGGAAUGAGGAAGUUUAAUUCGUCUAACCAAUGGGUAGCCAAACCAAAUCAAACAGUAUGUUAUAACCAACUACUCAACCAGCCUUUAGCCUUUAUCCCUUCCUUCGCUACUUCCGCUCUGGCACCACAGGACUUGCAUCUAACUAUGGAGGUUUCUUGGGGGAUAGAGAAAUAGCCUUGUAGGUCGGGAUAUUGGUAAGAUUUGAUCAGUGCUUUAAAAAAUGAAAAUUGCAAAAAAAGCAAUAAGGUCUUCAAAGCUUUAAUCAAAAGCAAUAAGCAGCGUACGAUUCAUCAACCAUAUGAAAUUACCUAAAUAUAUGAAUUUAGUACUUAUAAAAUCAAAUAGUGAUUAACAUUUUUUUUCAGUACCUGUUAUACAAUAAUGACUAUAUAUAGACACAAUACCUAAACUGAAAUAGAGUGAAAAUAAUGGUCAAUAGCAACAUUGAUUUUAGAUUCUUAAUAAAUUAACUAUUAAAAGAAUUAAUCAACUAUAACAAGAAUUAUUUUGCAGCAUUCAAUUUCAUAUUAAAUUGCUUUAGUAACUAUACAUAAAGUUGAAAGAGAAGCAAAAAGAAGCUCAAAAUCAGCAGUAGUUGAAGCUGGGGAUUUGCAUACAAGGAAAUUGUCAUCUUUGAAGAAAAAGAAAAAAGAAAUUUUAAGGAUAUACAGAAUCCUUGCCUUACUACAUAGACAAGUCAAUCCGGUUGAUAUUUUCGAUGUUAGGAGGUGGGGUUUGGAAGCAAUGGAAUGUUCUUUGAUUCCAAUGUUUGGAGGUGGGGUUUGGAGAUAGUGGAAUGUCCUCUGUGAAGUCCUUUCAUGAGAAACUAUUGGUUAGGAAGGAGAUGACAUUUUCCAUAUAGCAACAAUAUAAAUCUCAAAGGGUGUUGAGGAAGGUGUACGUUGUUUGCGUCAGUUUGUGUUUCAUGUGUAAGGAAGCGGGUGAGGAAGUGUCCCUAACAAGUAGGAUUAUAAAUGAAACUAUGGGCUGCUCUUCUUUUUUUUUUUAAAAAAAGAACACUUUUGCGGAAAGCAACUCUUCUGUUUCAUUAUUGGAGAUGUAUUCUGGAUCAUUCUCUUGUGAUUAUUGCAUUUUUGGCUAUUUGAUGUCUAUGUUAUUGUUCAACUCAUGUUUUUAUGCUCACUAUGUUGCUCAUAUAUACCGACUGUAUGUAUGCUCCUUGUUUGGUGUAGGGCUGUCGAAGAACCGGAGAUCCAAAAAAGUUCAUGUUUUGCAAAAGGUGUGAUGCAGCUUAUCACUGUUACUGUAUGCAGCCUCCACACAAGGUGGAUUCCUGUAUCUUACUCUUUCAGUUUUGUAUAAUGAUAAAAGUAGAUUAUAAUUAGUUGUUUUUGGGAUGUGCAGAACGUUAGCAGUGGGCCUUAUUUUUGCCCCAAAGACAAACUGUCACAGCUGUUGUUCUAAUGUUCCAGGAAAUGGACUGAGCGUGAGGUGUGUAGUAUGGGGCCAUGAGCUGCUAGUGGGAUAUCCUCUUGGAUUCAAGUUUUGCUAUAAAUGUUAAUUGAACACUCUAAUUAACUCCAUUUUAAUUAAAAUGCUUAUUCAUGUACUUUUCUUUGCUGUUUUUUUCUGUAUCUUUACAGAGGAGCAUCAUGUAGGAGUUCCAUUUGGUUUACAUUAUAUAUUCUGAUAAGGGCUUUGGAAGGAAUUUAACUCAGUUCUCUAGUUUUUGGCUUGCCUGUAGCACUGUGAAUUUUCCGUACUAAUGUCUUUUCGAGAUUCCCAAUACAAAUUAUUGCAAUAGCAUAAAAUAAUGUUGUGUGCUGCAUGUGAUGUAUGGAAAUCAUUUAAGGCAUUGCAUAUCCUAUGUAAAUUAUUUAAGGCUUUGCAUAUCCUAUGAAAAUCAUUUAGGGCAUUGUAUAUCCUAUUGCCUCUGAACUACUGAUUUCUUGAUCAAUGGCAAGUGGUUUUUAGGAUACACUUGUUGUGAUGCCUGUGGAAGAUUAUUUGUGAAGGGAAACUACUGUCCUGUUUAUUUGAAGGUAGAUAUUAUGGUGGUUUUUAUUAUCUGAGCAUCUCUUUGUUUGAUCUUACAAUUAGGUUCUUUGUACCAUGGUGGUUUACUAAUGCGAAGUUGCUAAGUUGUCGGAUAUUUUUACGUGAUGCCUUUUGCUUUCAUUGCCUUUCCAAAGCAACUGAGUGUUUUUCUUCCCAUGUGUCUAUGGGGAAUGCAAUUAAUUGUUUUUUAUACUGUAGGUAUAUAGAGAUUCUGAAUCAACACCUAUGGUCUGUUGUGACAUUUGCCAGCGCUGGGCGCACUGCCAAUGUGAUGGCAUCAGGUUCACCUUAGAUAUUGCUUUUAAGAUUAUUAAUUUAUUGGUCUUGCUUUGGUGCCUUUCUCAUGAAGUGCAAUUGUAUUUCUUAACACAGGGGAGAAUAUGGAUGUGCAUUAGGUUAAACUUUUCUAUUCUGGAAUUAAAUAUCACAAAUUUAUUAUUGACAGUAUCAUAUACCUUUUGUGGUGUUCUUGCAGCAGAUUUUGCUAUGUUAAAAUGUGGAAAGUGUUUCCAAGAAUAGUCUCAUCAUUGCCCAUUGACUUUUAUUGUUUCCUUGAAUAACUGAAUGGCAUUUUGGGUACUGCUGUUUAUGCUGCAUUUCUGCCUUAUUAAGAAUUUUAGUUUUGAUUUUAAUUUUCUAGAGAUUAGAAAGCUUUGCAAUCUUGGGCACCUACUGGUUGUAACUCCGGCUAUUUAGAUAUUAAACAAAAACAGUUCCCUUUAAUUAUUUAAGAUCUGUACAUUUUUUGAACUAUGUCAAGGGGGAAGUUGGAUCUUUUAAGAGGUGCCUAGCGCUUUCAUCAAUAUGAAAGAGGAAGCCUCAGGUCUGUACCUGUACAAUUAGGGCUCUUAGGCUACAGCUUCCACUGCAGGACAUGAGUUGAAGUGAGUGCUUAAGGGGGAUAAGCUUCAGUGGGCGAGGUAAUCGGCUAGCUGGGAAUUCAUUUUUAGGGCUAAGUCCCAAGGAGGCAGGUUUAAUCUAGUACGAGAGGAACUGUCGAUUCACAUAAUUGGUCAUCACGCUUGGUUGAAAAGCAAGUGGCACGAAGCUACCCUGUGCUAGAUUAUGACUGAAAGCCUCUACCCUUCAACUAUUUAGCCAUGUUUGAAGGAAUAUCAAGACUUUGGAUGCUCUGGAAGACAAUCAAAAGACUGUGGCCAUCCUUUAUCCCCAAUCUAUACUUUAGGAUUGGUAAUGGGGUGAAAACCAGUUUCUGGAAUGAACUCUGGUUAGGGGAAGAGAAUUUGAAGAUCAUGUUCCCAGAUCUUUAUAUAUUGAGCCUACAACAGAUGGACACUGUGGCAUAGGUGUGGAGCCCUUAAGGUUGGGAUUUGAUCUUUAGGAAGGCUUUAAAUGACUGGGAGGUUGAUAGAGUAGCAGGAUUACUACAGACACUAAAUGCAUUUCCAGGGGUCACUAAAGGUCCUGAUACUCCAAUUUGGAAAAUGCACAAGAAAGGGAUUUUUUCUGUGAAAUCUUGUUGCUGGAGCUUAAAUUCUAAUCAGACUAUGGAAAUGGAAUGGCCUUGGAAACUAAUUUGGAAAAUCAAGAUUCCUCACAAGGUCUCAGGUUUCACUUGGUUGGCAAUUAGGAAAGCACGUCUAACUCAUGAAGUGUUACAAAGAAGAGGUAUACAGAUUUUCUCAAGAUACAUGUGUGGGGAAGAGGCAGAAGUUAACAGUCACUUAUUCUUACACUGCAGAACAUCUAUAAAUCUGUGGGACAUGUUCUUAUGUAUACUUGGAGUUAACUGGGUAAUUCCCAAGACUACUUUAGACUUGCUGAGACACUGGGAAGGAGUGGGCAGAAGAAGAAGAUCCAAAGAGGACUGGUGGAAAUGCAUCCCAGCCUGCAUUUGGUGGACAUUGUGGAAGGAAAGAAAUGAAAGAUCACAUGAUGGGAAACUUAACAGCAUUCAGAAAAUCAAGAUGAAUAGCUUGAGCCAGCUGUACUUUUGGUGUAAACAGGAUUUGGUGGGUAGUUUAGUGGAUUUUAUAGCUUCAAUUGUAAAGUUUUUCCCCAGUUUUUGGCUUUUGAAAUUACCUCCUGGGGGCUGUAAAUCCCACCUCAUCAGGCUUUGCUGAUGAAUUUUUAUGUGAAUAUAAAGUUACCUUUAUUAAAAAAAACUAUUUAGGAUUCGUCCUAUUUUGGUAGGAAAAAGAUUAGAACCACUUCACAGAUAUGUCAAUUGAGUUCAUUAGAAGGGUUAAUGAUUGGCAAGGAGAACUGUUAUCAUUGGAGGGUCAAGGCCCUUUCAAGAUCUUGAGUAACUAAUGACAGAUCAAUUCAAACAAUGGCAUACAAACGGCAUUUAUGAAUGUUUUGCAUAGUAUAAUCUGUUGAUAAUUGUGGAGGAAGUUAAUGUUCGUGGAUAUGCAAAUGUUAAGUUAUUUAUACUCCCUCCGUCCCAAUUUAUAUGACACAUGUUCUUUUUUAGUCCGUCUCUAAAAGCAUGUCACGAUUUUUAUCAUGGGAGACAAUCUAACUUUAAAAUUUUCCUUUUUAACCUUAAUGAAAUGAUUUAUAACCAUAGAAAUGGUAGGCCACAAAUUUCAAAAGUUUUCAUUUCUUUCUUAAACUUUGGGCCAAGUCAACGGUGCCACAUAAAUUGGGAUGGAGGGAGUAAUUGUUUUGAGGAAAGAGGGAGUGAUUGUUUGUGCCACAUAUAUAUAAUGCAUGUGUGAGACGCCUGUAUAAUAGCACUUUUACCUAAAUUUGGUAUUGUCUUGAAAAGGGGGUAAUGGUUGCACUUUAAAAUAAGAAUAUGGAAUAGGUGGUCACCUGUAACGUAUCAGUGUGUAAAUGAAUUAAAGCCUGAUUACAUAAUGUGUUGGCUUGUUAGUCUUGCAUUGACUAGAUGAAUUGUUUGUUGGAAAUUGGAAAGAGAUGGCAAAUGGACGGAUCAAUUAUAUUUGAUUAUGUGAGUUUUUUUUUUCUUGGAGCAAUUCAGAAGAUUUAUGUUUCUCUCUUAAAUGAAGAAUUUGAACAAAAAUAAUCCGGGAGUAGUUAUUGAAAUGAAUUAAUGAGUAAAUAUAAAAUUUAAUUGAACAAGAGAAACACAGAACUUAGACUUUUUUGUCUCUCUUAAACUCAAUUUAAAGAAAGUAUUUCCAAGAAUAUUAUCACCAUUCCCCUUGACUCUUAGUGUUUCAUUGAAUGAUUGAACGGCAUUUUGGGGACUGCUGUUUAUGAAGACAAUAUAAUGGAUGAGUUCUUGUAUGCUAACUGGAUACUGCAGAAGUUGGGAAAAGAUGCAAAAGGAAAGAGAGUGGAAGUUCAUCAUUCAUCUGAUAAUGCCUAGUAAGCUUAUUGUUACAUCAAGCUGAUUGCUAUGCAUACUUAAAAUUUAUGCAACUUUAAUGGAAAUGAGUUCUGUGAUAUUCUGGAUUAGUACUCAUGAUAGCAAUGAGAAAAGGGCAAUCAGUAGAGCAAGUGAAUUGCAUUGGGACACAAGGAUAUAGUAGGAUAAAGAAAAGGAACACAUUAUCUUUAGUUACAAUGUUCAUUUGGGCUUUUAAUUAGCGUGACUCCCUUGCUGGUUCUUAAAUAUCAAAUUGUAUAGAAGAGCAUUCAUAUAAAUCUGCACCACCCUUUCUUUGAUGUGUGCUAGUUUGACCUUUCAAUUUGUCUUCUUUUUCAGGCAUAGAGGGACAGUCGUAGAAGUCUUUGAAGGCUUAUCGGUUGUGUUUGUUGCUCUUGAUGAUGGGAAGAAGAACUUGGAACUUAGAAAGCAAGGAAUAUGUUUUGUAUCUCAGAAGCAAAAACGUUGACUGCUAUUAAAAUUGGUUAUUAGAUGCAGCGUAUGUUGCGACUUCUGAUGCCAAGAGCAUGAGCAACUGCUGAUUCCCAGAGUAGCUCCUCUUUGGUGGACUCAAAUGAAGUAACUGAUCGUUGGAGGUCAAAUUUCAAGGUUACUGCACCCUGCAUCGUGUGUUUGCUGCAAGUUUGCUAACCUUUGCUUACCAUGUACGGUGUUGGUUGGUUCUGUUUUGUAGUUACCUUUCGUUUCCCAGUGUACAGAUUCUCUUUUCUGGUCAGAGGUAGAACACAGUUUUUGAGCCUUCUGGUGGUACUUAGAUUAAUGUUGCUGGGUUUGCAGUUUUAAUGUAAAACUUCUAGAGAUUAGAAAGCUCUGCUCCUACUGGUGGUAAGUUGUAACUCAGGGUAUUUUUUAAUUAUAGAAUAGCCAGUUGACCACUGUUUAAUAAGAACUAGGUAAACUACCCGUGCAAAGCACGGGAUUGAACUAUUUUUUUAAGCUUACAUAUGAUCAUUCGGUAAUAUUCAUAUUUCCGAUACAUACACUACAUUGUCAAGAACAUUUUAUCUUAAGGCAAAGUGUUCCUCUGAAAUCUUAAAGUGCUAUAUUUUUUAAUUUUUGUUUUUCUGUUAUACAAAAAUUAUGAGUCAUAGAGAGAUUUUAAGUAUAAGAAAGAAGUCUAAGAAAAUCUCCAUAGAAAUAUUUGGUAAGAAGUAAUGAAAUUUGCUAAAUUCGAAAAAGUUAUAAAGAACAACAUCAGACGUUAAAGUAGAGACCAAAAAGCCUCAAACAACAACACUCCCAAGUAAAGUUGAACAUCACAUCCAUACAAGAACAUAGUUAACUAAACUCAAAUGGAAGACCUUCAUCUCCUUUCUUAUAUGUUAAAAUGUCCCUAAAAUUGUUAGUAUCAUAAAUGUUUUUCCUCAUUGUCUUAGAAUAGUCAUUACUAUUGCUUAGGUUUCAUAUCACCAGUCCCAACUUAUUUUGAAUUGAACCAUAGUUAUUGUUAUGGUUAUAGUAUGCAGUUACAAAGAAUUAAUGCAAUUAUCAACCAAGCAGUAUGUGACAUCUGAAUGGAAUUGUUCACAACUGGAUAUUCUAAACCAAAAUUUUGAAACAUAACAUAUUAAAAUCUCACAGCAUAAUUUUGUGAGCACUUGAACUCACAAAUAUCCACAAAUAAUAAUAAAGACAACCUUACUUUCCUAGCAAUCAAGAAGAAAUAAUAUGUUGCUUAACAUAUUUUUCAAAAAGAUAGUCUAUCGGACUGUAUCCAAGUUUACCGUUCACAAAUUUAAUUGAAAUAAUCCAAAAGAAAGAGUUGUUACUUCUUUAUCAAAAAAACAAAAUAACUUUAUCAAAAUAAAGAGUUAUCACUACAGUAAAAAUGAUCUUUAACGGCAAUUAAUAGCUUAAUUGUCGCUAAAUAUUUAUUUUCAGAGGCAAUUGGUACUCUCUAUAAAUGUCCCUAAAGUUUAUAGCAACAUUGAAUCUAAUGACAAUUAACUAAUGUCCGUAAAGGCUGUAACACUCUUUGUUAAUGUGCAUAUUUAUGCCGAUAAAAAAUAUUUAUGUUAUAGUGUAUUUUGGACAUUUGUUUGUUUCAAGAAAAUUUGAUCUCUUAUUUUGCCCAAAAAGAAGAGACGAAGAAAUAUGACAAAUUCUUAACUUGCGACAAAAGAAGUGGACUAAUUGUGUCUAUACUAAUAUUAUAGGAAGAGUGCAAUGACAUACGAAUUGUUUGUACCUAAGAAAAAAAAAUAAAAAAUAAUAUACUAAAUGUGGCAAGAAAGAGAGCAAUCUGUUUGGUUCUUUUAACAAACUUCAUCAUUGGUUCCGUAUUAGUAUCACAUAUUUGUUGUUUGUGCUAUCAAAUAUAGCACAACCCACAUCGAUUUUCCCAAAAAGUAUAUGAAAAAACCUAUAGAAAGGGACAAAAGAGAAGAUAAAUUUACAAUUAUCCUCACUGAAAUUUUUAACAGAGUUAAAAAAAAGUCACCAAAAUAACAAAUAGAAAUUGCAAUAGAUACAUGAAUCACUAUGACUUACACUAAAAGAUUAAGCUUCAUGAAAUAUGAAGAAGAAAACUUUGAGGAAUGAAAUAUACUUCAUAAGAAGUUUAAUUAAUGUAUUUGAAUUCGACUCCCCUAUAGCAAAAAAUAAACUACAAAUAAUAGUGGCAGAAAUAAAAGUUUUGUUUACUAAAAAACCAAACGUAAGGAAUUCAACUAUUUCAACAGCGUUAUGAGUUGUGGAAUGAGAGGUGCAAGAGUAGUAAUGCCGCAUUGCAAUCCAAAUCAAUUUUCUUUGUUUAUAUGAAGAAACCGGUAGAAAGGGACAAAAGAGAAGAUCAAUUUUCAAUCAUCUUUGCUGAAAUUUUUAGCAGAGUUUAAAAAAAGUCGCCAAAAUAACAAAAAGAAAUUGUCAUAAUUACAUGAAUCACUAUGACUUAUAGUAAAAAUUAAGCUCCAUGAAAUAGGAGGAAUUAAACAAACAUCAUAAGAAGCUUAAUUAAUGUAUUUGAAUUCGACUACCCUACAAAUGAUAGUGACAGAAAAUCCCUCUAUUUAUAAACUACAAAGGGUGGUGUGAACAAAUUUCUAUUUUAACUUAUCGGAAAGGUCACAAUCUUUCAUAAAAGCCACAACUCUUCAUUAAAGUCACAACUCUUCAUAAAAGUCGCAACUCUUCAUAAAAGUCACAACUCUUCAUAAAAGUUGUAACUUUUCAUAAAAGUCGCAACUUUUCAUGAAAAGGGAAGGCUAGUUUUGGAAAUAAAUAAAUUAAAAGGGAAUUCUAGUUUGUGGUGGCGCCACAUAGGCGGCCUAUGGUUCUCUUUUAUAUAUAUAUAUUACAGUAAAUUCUAUUAGAUAUAUAAUCAGCCUGAGGAUUUUUAUAAUCUCAUUGUUUUGUUUAGCUACAAGAAAAUGUGAAACUAAUUUAGAAUAUAUUUAAAAUCACCUCUUGAUAUAUCUGUAGAAGCACAUUGAAGACAAGCAAUGUGAGAGUAAACUUUUUUUAAGUAGUCACUCAAGUUUAGAAAAUUUUUUAGUAACAUUAUUUUUGUUUCUUUGGAUUAUAAUAUCACGUCAUUAUUCUUAUUUUUCUCAAAAUAUACUGACACAAUAAAAACAUCAUUCUUUCGCCUAAUUAGCUGACAUGUCACAUUAUUACUUUUUUUUUAAAUAAUAUUUUUUUAAACUCUUUUAAAUUAGGAAAAACUACAUAAAAGGGUCAUCAAACCUAAAAUAUUUACAGCCUCAUACCCAAACCCAAAGUAACUCUUCAUAUAUCCAUUCUCCUCUAAUUAUUUACAGCCCAUACCCCCUCCCUUUUAUUAGCCCAUUCUUCCAUUAUUGUCCAAAUCGUUCGGCCCAAUUUGUUAUUCAAGCCCAUUACUAAUUGUCCAAUCGUUCAGACCAAUUUGUUAUUCAAAAGGAAUAGGCCCCACGGAAAUAACCCACCCGAUUUGUCUAGGUGGAGCAACGACGAAGUUCAACAGUUGUGUGCAAUUUCUUCGGUCUGUCAUUGUUAGUCGAGAUAAGUCUGUUUUUUGUGUGGUACAAUUCUUUCUCUAUUCCACUUACAUUUAUUUUUUGUUUCCAAUACAGUUUCUUUCGAAUUAAUUAUGGGGUUUCUGUGAUUUUAUUUUUGAUUUUUCAAAUUGUUUUCUAUGGGCCGUAAAAACAUAGUACUAGUUGUUGGUGGGGGCAUCGUUCUACUUAUGUUAAUUAUGUUGACAAUGAUAGCGAUAACGAUAAUGUAGGUGAUCAACAAUCAAGGGUUUCGAGUAUGUUUGGGCCAAUUUUUUCUUUCCAUUUGAAUGCAAACACAAUAGACAAUGUUGGCUUAAGUGAAUAAAUCAACCAUGCAGAUGUUGUGGGUUAAGAAAUCGGGGUUGAUUUGAAGAGGAAUGGGAAGGCACCUAUGGAUUCUGAACAACAGACUAAAAAAUAAAAUUUAGGUUGUUCUUCUGGUCCGUCCAUUCCUUCAGAAUCGUUCCCCAAAAUGAAAACCGAAAAUAUUGGUGGAUCCGGCGACAAAGCCAUUGAUCAAUAUUCUCAUUUGAAGGUAUAAUACUACUUUUUUUUUUAUAAAUUAAUCUGACUCAUGAUAUGUUUAUCCUCUUUUACUUAAUUUGUUACUCAGAAGAAUUUUGAAUUUUGCAUUCUUCUUGUCUUUAGAGUCGACAAGUAUCGUCUAGACAAAUAACAAUAUAUCUGUAUUAUAUGUGUAUGUGACUGAACAAUGUUCUUUUCAUUUAUUCAUUUUUUGUCUUUAGAGUUGACAUGAUAUGUUUUUUCUGUCACUGUUUUUUAACUUUGUACUCUUUUUUUAUACAACGACAGUGGAAUUUCUGUUGCGGCGUUUGCUGAAUAUUUCAUUGAAGGUCUCACAAUACCAGCUGUUUUGGACAGUUUAGAGAUUGACAUUAUUCUUUCAAGAUAUGACAAGCUACUGUGGUCUUAUGGCAAGCAGAAACAAAUGGAUAGUGAGUGUAGCGAGACAGAAAAUCCUGGCAGACUGGGGAAGCUGGGAAAAAGCGGAAGGCGUAGGAUUAGUUAUUUAUUUUUAUUUUCUGUUAAUGUACUGUUAAAAUUUUUAAAACUGACAACAUAGUGAAUAGUUUGUUUUUUAUAAUCAUUAGGUGUUCACUGAGUAAUUUCUGAACAGUUAAAGGGAAAUGAUAACAAGAGAGUAUUUGAACUAGACAAACCUCAAUGAUACUAAUUCUGUAGAUAUAUAUCUUUUUAGUAUCACUAAGUUAGUUAGGAACACGAGAAACAUCAAAUGAUACCUAUCCUGUAUAUAUAUACUAUUUUAGUAUUCACUUUCUAAAUUAGUUGCGAACAAGAAAACCUCAAUGAUACUAAUUCUGUAGAUAUAUAUCUUUUUAGUAUCACUAAGUUAGUUAGGAACACGAGAAACAUCAAAUGAUACCUAUCCGGUAUAUAUAUACUAUUUUAGUAUCACUUUCUAAAUUAGUUGCGAACAAGAAAACCUCAAUGAUACCAAUCAUGUAGAUAUAUGACUUGUUAGUAUCAGUUACUAAGUUAGGUAUAAACACGAAAACCUCAAUGAUACCAAUCCCGUAGAUAUAUACCUUUUUGGUAUCAAUUAUAAAGUUAGUUAGGAACCAGAAAUCCUCAAUGAUACCAAUCCCGUAGAUAUAUACCUUUUUGGUAUCAAUUAUAAAGUUAGUUAGGAACCAGAAAUCCUCAAUGAUACCAAUCCUGUAGAUAUAUACUUGUUUAGUAUCACUUACUAAGUUCGUUAGGAACACGAAAAAAAUCAAAUGAUACCACUCCUGUAGAUAUAUACAAUUUAAGUAUCACUUACUAAUUUAGUUAUGAACAAGAGAAACCUCAAUGAUACGAAUCAUGUAGACAUUUACUAUUUUAGUAUUACUUAGUAAGUUAGUUAGGAACACGAGAAACAUCAAAUGAUACCAAUCUUGUAGAUAUAUUCAAUUUUAGUAUUAUUUACUAAGUUAGUAAUGAACAAUACAAACCUUAAUAAUAUCAAUCUUGUAGAUAUAUACCUUUUUAGUAUCACUUACUAAUUUAGUUAGGAACACGAGAAACAUCAAAUGAUACCAAUCCUGUAGAAAUAUACUAAUUUAGUAUCAUAUUACUAAGUUAGUUAUGAACAAUACAAACCUCGAUGAUACAAAUCCUGUAGAUAUAUACCUUUUUAGUAUCAUUUACUAAGUUAGUUAUGAACAAUACAAACCUCAGUGAUACCAAUCCUGUAGAUAUAUACUAAUUUAGUAUUAUUUACUAAGUUAGUUAGGAAAAAUUAAAACCUCAAUGAUACCAAUCGUGGAGAUGUAUACCUCUUUAGUAUCACUUACUUUAGUUAGGAACACGAGAAACAUCAAAUGAUACCAAUCCUUUAGAUAUAUAAUAAUUUAAUAUCAUUUUACUAAGUUGGUUAAUUAGGAGCAAUACAAACCUCAAUGAUACCAAUCCUGUAGAUAAACACAUGUUUAGUAUCACUUAGUAAGUUAGUUAGGAACACGAUAAAUAUCAAAUGAUACCGAUCUUGUAGAUAUAUACUAAUUUAGUAUCAUUUACUAAGUUAGUUAGGAACACGAGAAACCUCAAUGAUACUAAUCCUGUAGAUAUAUACCUUUUUAGUAUCACUUACUAAUUUAGUUAGGAACACGAGAAACAUCAAAUGAUACCAAUCAUGUAGAUAAAUACUAAUUUAGUAUCAGUUUACUAAGUUAGUUAUGAACAAUACAAACCUCAAUGAUACAAAUCGUGUAGAUAUAUACCUUUUUAGUAUCACUUACUAAUUUAGUUAGGAACACGAGAAACAUCAAAUGAUACCAAUCAUGUAGAUAAAUACUAAUUUAGUAUCAGUUUACUAAGUUAGUUAUGAACAAUACAAACCUCAAUGAUACAAAUCGUGUAGAUAUAUACCUUUUUAGUAUCACUAAGUUAGUUAGGAACACGAGAAACCUCAAUGAUACUAAUCCUGUAGAUAUAUACCUUUUUAGUAUCACUAAGUUAGUUAGGAACACGAGAAACCUCAAUGAUACUAAUCCUGUAGAUAUAUACCUUUUUAGUAUCACUAAGUUAGUUAGGAACACGAGAAACCUCAAUGAUACUAAUCCUGUAGAUAUAUACCUUUUUAGUAUCACUAAGUUAGUUAGGAAAUACCAAUCUUGUAGAUAUAUACUAUUUUAGUAUCAUUUACUAAGUUAGUUAGGAAUACGAGAAACCUCAAUGAUAUCAAUCCUGUAGAUAUAUACCUUUUUAGUAUCACUUACUAAUUUAGUUAGGAACAUGAGAAACAUCAAAUGAUACAUAUCCAGUAGAUAUAUACCUUUUCAGUAUCAUAUACUAAAUUAUGAACAAUACAAACCUCAAUGAUAUCAAUCAUGUAGAUAUAUACCUUUUUGGUAUCACUUACUAAUUUAGUUAGGAACACGAGAAACAUCAAAUGAUACUAAUCCUGUAGAUAUAUUCCUGUUUAGUAUCAUUUACUGAGCUAGUUAAAAAUAGUACAAACCUCAAUGAUAACAAUGAUGUAGAUAUAUACUAAUUUAGUAUCAUUUUACUAAGUUAGUUAUGAACAAUACAAACCUCAAUGAUACAAAUCAUGUAGAUAGAUACCUUUUUAGUAUCAUAUACUAAGUUAGUUAUAAACAACACAAACCUCAAUGAUACAAAUCCUGUAGAUAUAUACCUUUUUGGUAUCACUUACUAAUUUAGUUAGGAACACGAGAAACAUCAAAUGAUACCACUCUUGUAGAUAUAUACAAUUUAAGUAUCACUUACUAAUUUAUUUAUGAACAAGAGAAACCUCAAUGAUACGAAUUACAUUUACUAUUUUAGUAUCACUUAAUAAGUUAGCUAGGAACACGAGAAACAUCAAAUGAUACAAAUCAUGUAGGUAUAUUUAAUUUUAGUGAAUAGUUUGUUUUUUUUAUAAUCAUUAGGUGUUCACUGAGUAAUUUCUGAAUAGUUUAAGGGAAAUGAUAACAAGAGAGUAUUUGAACUAGACAAACCUCAAUGAUCCCAUUUUAGAUAAUAUACUAUUUUAGUAUCAUUUACUAAGUUAGUUAUGAACAAGACAAACCUCAAUGAUACCAAAUCUGUAGAUAUAUACCUUUUUAGUAUCACUAAGUUAGUUAGGAACACGAGAAACAUCAAAUGUUACCUAUCCGGUAUAUAUAUACUAUUUUAGUAUCACUUUCUAAGUUAGUUGCAAACAAGAAAACCUCAAUGAUACCAAUCAUGUAGAUAUAUGACUUUUUAGUAUCAGUUACUAAGUUAGGUAUGAACACGAAAACCUCAAUGAUACCAAUCCCGUAUAUAUAUACCUUUUUGGUAUCAAUUAUAAAGUUAGUUAGGAACCAGAAAUCCUCAAUGAUACCAAUCAUAUAGUUAUUUACUAUUUAAGUAUCCUUUACUAAGUUAGUUAUGAAUAAUACAAACCUCAAUGAUAUCAAUCCUGUAGAUAUAUACUUGUUUAGUAUCACUUACUAAGUUCGUUAAGAACACGAGAAAAAUCAAAUGAUCAUACCACUCCUGUAGAUAUAUACAAUUUAAGUAUCACUUACUAAUUUAGUUAGGAACACGAGAAACCUCAAUGAUACCAAUCAUGUAGAUAUACACUAAUUUAGUAUCAUUUACUAAGUUAGUUAGGAACACGAGAAACCUCAAUGAUACCAAUCAUGUAGAUAUACACUAAUUUAGUAUCAUUUACUAAGUUAGUUAGGAACAAUACAAACCUCAAUGAUACCAAUUCUGUAGAUAUAUACCUUUUUAGUAUCACUUACUAAAUUUAGUUAGGAACACGAGAAACAUCAAAUGAUACCAAUCCUAUAGAUAUAUACUAAUUUAGUAUCAUAUUACUAAGUUAGUUAUGAACAAUACAAACCUCGAUGAUACAAAUCCUUUAGAUAUAUACCUUUUUAGUAUCAUUUACUAAGUUAGUUACCUCAAUGAUACCAAUCAUGUAGAUAUAUACUAAUUUAGUAUUAUUUACUAAGUUAGUUAGGAACAAUAAAAACCUCAAUGAUACCAAUCCUGCAUAUGUAUACCUUUUUAGUAUCACUUACUUUGGUUAGGAACACGAAAAACAUCAAAUGAUACCACUCCUUUAGAUAUAUAAUAAUUUAGUAUCAUUUUACUAAGUUAGUUAGGAACAAUACAAACCUCACCAAUCCUGUAAAUAUACACUUGUUUAGUAUCACUUAGUAAGUUAGUUAGGAACACGAAAAAUAUCAAAUGAUAUCGAUCCUGUAGAUAUAUACUAAAUUAGUAUCAUUUACUAUGUUAGUUAGGAACACGAGAAACCUCAAUGAUACUCCUGUAGAUAUAUACCUUUUUAGUAUCACUUACUAAUUUAGUUAGGAACACAAGAAACAUCAAAUGAUACGAAUCCUGUAGAUAUAUACUAUUUUAGUAUCAUUUACUAAGUUAGUUAGGAACACGAGAAACCUCAAUGAUAUCAAUCCUGUAGAUAUAUACCUUUUUAGUAUCACGUACUAAUUUAGUUAGGAACAUGAGAAACAUCAAAUGAUACAAAUCCAGUAGAUAUAUACUUUCUCAGUAUCAUAUACUAAGUUAUGAACAAUACAAACCUCAAUGACAUCAAUCAUGUAGAUAUAUACCUUUUUGGUAUCACUUACUAGUUUAGUUAGGAACACAAGAAACAUUAAAUGAUACUAAUCCUGUAGAUAUAUUCCUGUUUAGUAUCAUUUACUAAGCUAGUUAAAAAUAGUACAAACCUCAAUGAUACCAAUGAUGUAGAUAUAUACUAAUUUAGUAUCAUUUUACUAAGUUAGUUAUGAACAAUACAAACCUCAAUGAUACAGAUCAUGUAAAUAGAUACCUUUCUAGUAUCAUAUACUAAGUUAGUUAUAAAUAACACAAACCUCAAUGAUACAAAUCUUGUAGAUAUAUACCUUUUUGGUAUCACUUACUAAUUUAGUUAGGAACACGAGAAACAUCAAAUGAUACCACUCUUGUAGAUAUAUACAAUUUAAGUAUCACUUACUAAUUUAUUUAUGAACAAGAGAAACCUCAAUGAUACGAAUUACAUUUACUAUUUUAGUAUCACUUAAUAAGUUAGCUAGGAACACGAGAAACAUCAAAUGAUACAAAUCAUAUAGGUAUAUUCAAUUUUGGUAGCAUUUACUAAGUUAGUUAGGAACAAUAAAAACCUCAAUGAUACCAAUCAUGUAGAUAUAUACCUUUUUAGUAUCACUUACUAAUUUAGUUAGGAACAAGAGAAACAUCAAAUGAUACCAAUUCUGUAGAUAUAUACCUUUUUAGUAUCACUUACUAAUUUAGUUAGGAACACGAGAAACAUCAAAUGAUACUAAUCCUUUAGAUAUAUACCGAUCUUGUAGAUAUAUAUUUUUUUAGUAUUAUCUACUAAUUUAGUUAGAAACACGAGAAACAUCAAAUGAUACCAAUCCUUUAGAUAUAUACUAAUUUAGUAUCAUUUUACUAAGUUAGUUAUGAACAGUACAAACCUCAAUGAUACCAUUUCGGUAGAUAUAUACCUUUUUGGUAUGACUUACUAAUUUAGUUAGAAACACGAGAAACAUCAAACGAUACCAAUCCUGUAGAUAUACACAUGUUUAGUAUCAUUUACUAAGACCAAGAUAAUCCUCAAUGAUAUCAGUCCUGUAAGUAUUUACUAUUUGAGUAUUACUUACUAAGUUAGUUAUGAACAACAUUAGCGUCAAAUGAUAUUAAUCCUGUAGAUAUAUUCAGUUUUAGUAUCAUUUACUAAGUUAGUUAUGAACAAUACAACCUCAAUGAUACCAAUCUUGUAGAUAUAUACAUAUUUAGUAUCACUUAGUAAGUUAGUUAGGAACACGAGAAACAUCAAAUGAUACCAAUUAUGUAGGUAUUUACUAUUUGAGUAUCAUUUUACUAAGUUAGUUAUGAACAAUACAACCUCAAUGAUACAGAUCCUAUAGAUAUAUACCUUUUUAGUAUCAUUUACUAAUUUAGUUGUGAACAAUACAAACCUUAAUGAUAUCAAUCCCGUAGAUAUAUACUAAUUUAGUAUCAUUUACUAAGUUAGUUAAGAACAAUACAAACCUCAAUUAUACCAAUUUGGUAGAUAUAUAUCUUUUUAGUAUCACUUAAUAAGUUAGUUAGGAACACGAGAAACAUCAAAUGAUACCAAUUAUGUAGGUAUUUACUAUUUGAGUAUCAUUUUACUAAGUUAGUUAUGAACAAUACAACCUCAAUGAUACCAAUCUUGUAGAUAUAUACAUAUUUAGUAUCACUUAGUAAGUUAGUUAGGAACACGAGAAACAUCAAAUGAUACCAAUCUUGUAGAUAUAUACCUGUUUAGUAUCACUUACUAAAUUAGUUAUGAACACGAAAACCUCAAUGAUACCAAUCCUGUAGAUAUAUACGAUUUUAGUAUCACUUACAAUAAAGACAUACUAUUGUAGUAUCUCUUGAUAAAUUAGUUAUGAACAAAUAGCUUAAUGAUACCAUCUAGUUGCGUACAUUAUUUUUGUUAUAAACUAUUUUGAAAUAUGGUUUAACUUUAUGAUCAAUAUCAUCUAGUUGCCUCGUGAGUAUCUUAAUAUAGUUAUUCUAGCUGAAUGAGUCUUAUGUGAGAGCACUCAGUAUAGGUAAUACCAAUAAAGUAUAUAGAUACGUAUUUAGUAUCAUUUAGUAAUUUGUAAAAUAUGAAAAAAGAUAACCUUCAUGAUACCAACAUAGUAUAUAGAUUCUAUUUUAGUAUCAGUUACUAAUGAGUUGUAUAUGGAGAAUAGAAAGUUAAUGAUGCUAACACUGUAAAUAUAUACUUGUUUAGCAUCAUUGCGACUACUGACUACUGUGUGGAAUAGAAAUACUAUUGAUACGAACAUAGUAUAUAUAUACCUUAUUAUUAUCAGUCAAACAAUGAGCACUUUGUGAACAAUAUAAACCUUGUUUUUUGAAUUUGAACAUUCCAUCAACAUUAGUAGCACUAUAUAACAAAUAUUUUGUAAUGUCUAUCUAAAUCAAUACAAACAGUACUGUUUCAAUCCUUCUUUGGAAUUCUUUUGCAAGUUCUUCGAUUGUGUCCUUUAUGUCCACAUCAUCCACAUUUUACUUUUGUUGGAAUAUAGUAUUUUUCAGAUCCUCCUUUCCCUCUUUGUUUUCUAGGUCUUCCUGCAGGGAUUUUGGCAUUGGGUGGGAGCACCUUGCGUGAUGAUAUAUUAUCUGGAAGUUGGCACAUUAUUUUGUCAGGUAGAGGAUUAACUGGUGCCUCAUAUGAGAAGUUUCUAGUGUAGUAAGGAGAACAAUAUGUAUAUUUGUCAAGGUGAAAUUUGCGCACCACUAUCAUGGCAUGUCUACAUGAAAAUUCAUUUAUUUGGAACUUUCCACAUGUACAUGUCUUUACAUGUAGUGAAACAGUGUAUUUCACUUGACCAUCUCUGACGGAAUGAACAAAAUGAGUAGAAGGUGUUACCUGUAUUUAUUCCAAAAAACAGAACUUUUUUUAACUCAAAACUGUAACAGUAUACAAAUACUAUUUUGGUAUCAUUCGGUAUUUGCUCAUUUUCUCUAAUUAUUUAUGAAUGAUACCAGAACAAUAUAUCAUAUACUAUUACAGUAUCACUCAGUACUGUGCAUUUCCUCCUGGAUUGUGUUAUUUUUUCUGAACAAUACCACAACAGCAUGCCAUACACUAUUAUAGUAUCAUUCAGUAAUUGCUUAUUUUCCAUUGGACAUGUGUGGACAUCAUUGAAACUUGUUACUCAAAAGAAUUUUGAUUUUUGUAUGCUUCUUGCCUUAAGAGACCAUCGACAUGUGUCUUCAACACAAAUAACAGUAUAUCUGCAUUCAACAAGUAUGUGAUUGAAUAGUAUUGUUUAUAUUUGUAAAAUAAAUAAUACGUUAAAGACCUCAACAAACUAAGUUGAGGUCAUUUCGCGCUGAUUACUUUUGAAUGAUACCACCACAGUAUACAUAUACUAUUUUGGUAUCAUUCAAUAUUUUGCUCAUUUUCUCUGAUUAUUUAUGAAUGAUACCAAAACAGUAUAUCAUAUACUAUUAUGGUAUUACUCGCGGUGAGCGUAGUAGCCCCUUAGCAUGCUCAUUGUACAAAAAUCAUAGAUAUUUUAUUGGUUCAUAAAAGUAAAGACUAAACUAAUCAAAGAUAUCGAGGACAAAGAUACAUUGAUAAGAAUUUUAGCGGAUCGAUUGUAUUACAUCAGUUAAUUCCUAAAACGAGUGAAAAUUAAAUGAUGAAAAAGGGAGCGAGACGGGGAAGAAAGAUAUUUACCUUACCGUGCUGAAUUUAACUUACUUUAUCAUAUCAUAUUAAACAUUUCUUUCUACUUUUAUCAUGCUCCAUCGAGCAUUCUUAAAAUUUCUUGUGUUUUUUAUACUUUUAUUUUGUAAUGUUUUACUUUAGUUUUCUCUUUUUAAAAAUUUUAAAUUAGUAUCCAUUCAAUCACAUAUUACUAUGAAAAUCGUCAAGAUUCUCUAAAAGUGUGUAAGAAUAGAGUUACUAAUAUUAUAAUGCAUAUUCAGAAGAUAAAUAAAUAACAUCGUCAAUUUUUUUAGUUCAUAUAGUUCAAUUUACUAGGUUAGUCAUAAUUUGUAAAAAAGACAAAUAACGAUUAAAUCAAAUAAGUUUACUUUCCAUCCCUCUAAAAUAGAAUUAAAAAUAUAAAAGAAAUUUCAUGAAUUCUAUAAAUUAAUAUUUUUAAAAGGAUGUUGACGAUAUUUAAGUUUCUUCAUUCAAUUACAUCUAAUUUAUCUUUUUUUUUUAAAUAUAUAUAUUUCUAUCUCUAUUUCAAGUUAAAUAUAAUUCAUCAUUUUUUAAAAGAGUUGUUCAAGUUAGUAUAUGAAAAAGAGUUACGUUGAAACAACAUGAAUAAUAGAUUUAAAAAUAAUAAAAAAUAAAAAUAAAAAGAACGUGUCUAAUAAAUUUAAACAAGAACAAAUUAAAAGAAGAAAUGGAAUAAAAGGAAAAAAUAAUGAAAAAGAAGAAAAAGGUCUAAGUCCAAAAGUUUCAUUUUCCAAAGCAUAUUAAAAAGAGGGAAAAAAUAUGGGAUUUGAACCCGUGACCUAGGGGCAUAUCUUGAACCACUUAUCCACUGAGCCAAGCAUGUCCUUUGUUUCAGGGGGUUCAUUUCAAUAUAUAUAUAUAUAUAUAUAUAUGGAAUAAAAGGAAAAAAUAAUGAAAAAGAAGAAAAAGGUCUAAGUCCAAAAGUUUCAUUUUCCAAAGCAUAUUAAAAAGAGGGAAAAAAUAUGGGAUUUGAACCCGUGACCUAGGGGCAUAUCUUGAACCACUUAUCCACUGAGCCAAGCCUAUACUCUAUUUUUAGGAUGUUCAUUUUAAUAUAUAUUCCCAUAAAAUCAGAAUUUGACGUAAUAUAUAUCGUGUAAUUUUUUGACGAGGGGGUUUGGGUGAACCCCCUAGGGUCCACCUAGGUCCGCCCCUGCCUGGACUGUGUUAUUAUUUCUGAACAACAACAUGCCAAAUACUAUUUUGGUAUCAUUCAAUAAUUGCGCAUUUUCAACUGAUUAUUUUUGAAUGAUACCAGAAGAGUAUGCCAUAUACUAUUAUGGUAUCACUGAUUAACUAUCCAUUUCCUCGUGGACUGUGUUAUUAGUUUUGAAUGAUACCACAAUAGCAUGACAUACACUAUUAUGGUGUCAUUCAGUAAUUGCUCAUUUUGCACUGAUUAUUUCUGAAUGAUACCAGAAGAGUAUGACAUAUACUAUUAUGGUAUCACUUAGUAAUUGUCCAUUUUCCUCCUGGAUUGUGUUAUUAUUUUCUGAAUGAUUCCACAACACCAUGUCAUAUACUAUUAUGGUAUCAUUCAGUAAUUUGUUCAGUAAAAUUAUUUUUUGAAUGAUACCAGAACAGUAUGUCAUACAUUAUUAUCGUAUCAUUUAGUAUUUCUGCAGUUUCCCCUAAUCGUUUGAUAAAUUUACUAAAAACAACAUGUCAUUUUAAACAUUAUAUAUAGGGAUUUGUACAUAUUUUUGCAAGAUCUCGGGGUUUUAUACUGAAAACCUUCCUGAACUAAAUGUCGCCUUACAACUUGAGCUAGAGUGAUUUUGUUUUUGUAGAUGUGAUAAACUUAGAUUGAUUGUUUUGAUAUAUCUGUGGUUAUCUCUGUUGAAGUCAUAUCCUCAGCAACAUCAUUAGCAGGAAGAUUAAUUUCAAAGAAUGUAUUUUUUUCAUAAAUUAGUAACUCUGUAUUUUGUUGAGAUAUUUCUGGAGAAUCGGUCAUUUUUUUCAUUGCAGUGUUGUUGUAGGCAAUGACCAACGGAUAAGAAGUAAUAUCUGCAUUCUUCUUCUUCUUCAAGUCGAUGUACAUUUUCACUCACAUAUCGUUCAAUAUUUUCAAUUGCGGAAAUCCUUGCGCAAUUGAAUAGCUGAUGUCAAUACUUCUAGAAAUAUUAAUUUUGAGAUGAUUGGAAAUUUGUGUGAUGAAAGCUUCAAAAUUUGUAGGUGUUUCUACAAGCAGUGCAUCAAUAUCAAAGUUGAUGUAAUUUUACUCUGAAUUACAAAUUUCGUUAUGCUGCAAAAGGAUCGGUAUUUGCUCCAUUGAUGGAUAGAACGAACUUCAACGUUGAUCUGAUCUGGAAGAAGAAGAAUUGUGUAUGAAGGAAGAAGGAGAACUUGGGAAAAAAAGCAGAAUCGUGAAUGAAAAAAUAAAGAGGAGUAGGGAAGAACAAAGAACUGAUUGGAAGUUGAUCGUUAGGGCUUUUUAAAUCAAUUAUGCAAAUUGACUGGAAAUGGAUAUAGAAUGUAAUUAUUUUAGGGUAUGAAAGUAAUAGGGUAUAUGAUUGUAACUAUUUUACUCCUAAGGGCUAUUUCCUUAGUUUUCCCUAAAUUAUCCAUAUCCUAUACUUGAUAAAAGAUAUUAUUAUAGAAUAGCAAAACUUUUCUACCCUAGUUCUCUGGGAUUUCGAGGCAAAAUUCAAUAUGAACUUCUCUAGUUCUUUGGGUAGUUAUAAUUCAAUUGUCCCGUAAUAUAUGUUAUAUUUUACUUUUUGAGAGUCAAAUUAUUUGAAUAUUGAACACUAUUUCGAGAUAUAUUAUUUCAUCAUAAUAAUAUUAAAUAAUUACAAUUUAUAAUAUUACUAUUUACUAGACAAAUUCUCGAAUAUAAAUGACUAUUCACGUAAUUUAUUUCAAAAUAUGAUGAAGAUUUUUUCCCGAGAUAUCAUUAAUGACACUUUUACCACUAAUAUCAAUGAAAAAUUAUAAGGGAAUCAUAAAUAGAUUUAAAAUUUUAUAAUCUAAUCAAAAUAUUUUGUUUAAAAAUAACUAUCUUGAGGUGAUCAUACCUAACAUUCAGAUUAUUCAACAACAUAAAAGCUAUCUUUAGUAAUAAAAUAUUUUAUUUUCAAACCUUAUCAAGAUGAUAACAGAAAAUAUUUAUCUUUAUUUUGACUAGAUCUCAAUUUAAUACUUUAUUAGUAUUUUUGAUGAUGUCUACCAUAUUAAUCAUUUCAAUUUUAAAAGAAAUGAAGACAAACAGUUUUUUUUAUUUUUUAUUAUGUAUUAUAUAUUAUAUAGAGAGAGAGACUCUUUUAUUCGGUUUGUCUUCUCCAACUGCCACUGGAUUCACGUCAGAAGUAGCUGCAGCAUCAUCUCUCUGUUUCCAUGUAAAACCCUAAAUCCUAUUUUCCUCUUUGUACAUAUACUGGGUCUUAUAUUUUUCAUUAUUCUUAGUUAUUAGAAUUGUUUUGUGCUUUUCCUUUUUGUCUUAUUUAUAUAUUUUAGUUUUUCUUGUUUGAGUUUCCUAAUUUCUGUUUAUUCUGGUUCUUUUUUUAACCCCAUGAUUAAUUAAUUUUCCGGUUCGCAAUCAAUUCCUGUUAGAAGAGAAGAGCUAAACGUGGGAAGGAAGUAUUCAAGUGUAGGAAUUGGGUGGUUCUGAAAUUUUGGAUAUUUGGAAUAUGAUUAAGAUAUUAAGCAAUGGAAAAAAUAGGAGAAGUUAUUUAAGAGCUAUUUUAUUUUGGUGGAAGCUGGAAAGGGUAGAUUAUAUGGAGAAAACUUAAAAAGAUUGAAUUUUUAUGGGUUCUUUUUCUCUUUUUCUAGCAAUUCGUGUUUCUGUUUAUUUUGGUCUUUUUUUUUAACCUCGAAAACCCCAUAAUUAAUACACUUCCCUGUUCGCACUUUUUUUUGGGUCAAUUCCUGUUAGAAGGGAAGAGCUAAACGUGGGAAUUGGGUGGCUCUGAGAUUUUGGAUAUCCGGAAUAUGAUUAAGAUAUUAAGCAAUGAAAAAAAUAGGAGAAGUUGUUUAAGAGCUAUUAUAUGGAGAAAACUUAGAAAGAUUGAAUUUUUAUGGGUUCUUUUUUCACUUUUUCUAGCAAUAUGUGAACUAUCCCAUCUCCUUUGACAUUAUCUAAAUGAGGAUGAAUUGUAGAACAUUUAAUGUUCAAAUUUAAACUUGGAUUUGAUUUAAAUAUUAUGUUAUCUACACUAUCUUAUUAUACCAUAUUUGAAUAUUCUCAUAUCUACACUAUUUAAUUAUGUACCAUAAUUAACGAACUCCAUAUCCAGUUGAAUGAUGUCACUUUAAACGGAUAACUAGUAUAUGGUUAGUGGAAUAUUGUGAAACAUUUUGUGAUGGUUAAAAUAGAAAGAAUGUCAAUAAUUUGCUUAUAAACAAUAGUUUAUUAUCAUAGAGGAUUCAAACUGCUAACCUUGACAAGCUUAGGGUUGAGAUGUAGUUCCUUGUUGAUUGAUGAUAAUAUUUGAUUAGCUAAAGCAGCACCAGGUGCGUCCUGGUUAUCAAGAAGGCUAUAAAUGAUCUAAUCUCUCUUGUAUCUGUAACCGAGCCAAGGAAAUCCAUCAUAGCAUCUAUAUCAAUUAGUUUUUUCAGAUUGCCUAAUGAGUUUAAACAUUUCUGUAUUUUUAACAGUGAAGUGCAUCAUUCUUCCUUCUAAGCGUAUAGAGCUUUUUUCUUACCCACAAGAUAAAUGCUGGAAUUGAAAUACAAAUGUUUUUCAUUUGUCUUUGUAGCUUCUCUUCUUUCUAACUUGUGAGGGUGGAUUUUCCAGUCUUCUAGGCAAUACCUACAGCAACUGUAAAAUUAUUAAAAAUGUUCAGUUAGUUGAGCCAGUAUAUCAACUUUCUAGUUCCUGACAGUUUGUCCUUCAGCUAAUGAUCCAAGUAUUUCUUUUGGCUUAUAUUGAGCUAGGUGGCUUUAGGUCUUUAUUUGUUCGGUUAAUUAUUGUAAAUGUUUCAAAGUGCCUCUGUGGGGUAUAUAGCAUGUCCUCUUGUGUGAUGCCAAUUCCUAUCCAAUGGGUAGGUUCAUAAAAGAGCAGCCUACGCUGGGCUUCGAGGGAAGAAGAAAUCUACGGGACAUUGUUUGAUUGCUUCUAUAACUCCUUUUCAUUCUGUUAUCCUGAAAACCCGUGGCAGAUUGUCAUCGAACUUCUUUUAUGGAAGUUCAAGCAAGACAUUGUGUGCUUAUCAUCAAAACUCCACUCUACUAUCCUCCUCCUUGGUUCAGGUGCGCACAUAUAUUCAAGUCUAAUUUUCUCUCUUUACAAAGUUAAUAAGCUCCAUAUUAUUUUUUUACUUAAAAGAAUAAUAAAAAAUGCUCCCUAAUAUUUAUAAGCCUUUGUAUUUAAACAGUGUUUCUCCCAUGAUGAAAUGGACUGAUAACCAUUACAGAACUUUGGCCCGUCUCAUCUCAAAGAAGACGUGGCUCUACACAGAAAUGCUUGCUGCCGAAACAAUUUUCUUACCAGUUUGGCAAUUUGGUAAAGUUCUGCUGCAUGGAAUAAGAUUCUAGUGCUUUUCUACCCAACUAUAAAGUACCUUUUUGUUUCUUACUGAUAAGUAGAGCUUAGCAAAAAGAAGAGAAUCAUGCAAGUUAAUCCUUUGUUCUUAUUCUAGACAAAAAGAAAUGAACAUUUACUGGGCUAUAUAGUAUGUAAAGGCUCACAAUUACAGAAGAUUCAAACUCGCCUAUGAUAAAUUAAAUGAACUGUACCGGUUAAUUUUUUCACUGAAUGUGCGUAAAUCAAAAUAUCCUAUGAUUUUAUUUUUCCCAUUUGUUUCAAGUCAUGCGAUGGCAAGUGUUACUUUCUUUAAUGUUGAUCCUCUUGCUGCCAGCCCCAAUUUUCAUGAUAAAAGGAAAUAGUGGAUGUAUGUCUCUGUGGUUAUAUGCCUACUUUCUACAUGAUCUAAACUGACCUUCUACAAAGAGAAGCUUACAGUUAACACUUCUAUAGAUGGCACCUGACACUUGAAUUUGAUAUUCUAAAUCGAUGAAUCAUACUGUUUUUAUAUCAAUUACUAUAGACUCUUUGGGUUGUCUUUCAAGGGUCGAGUUAACCAAAUUGGUUGGUUAUUUUCAUUUUCCUAAACUAAGACCCUUGUCCCAGUUAGAUGGUUUCCUAGAAAAGGAAUAUUUAUUCCGCUGGUGUAAAAUACUUGGCAAAGAAGGGGACCUAGAUGAUGUAUUAUUGUAACCUGGGUAGAUCUACAAAAGGAUCUGCACCCAAUGGUGUGACCUAGUGGUCAAAGAAGCGGUUGAGAACCCUGAGGUAUCAUAUUCAAAACUUAGUGAAGACAAGAAAAAUUAGGUGAUCCUUCCCAUCUGUUCUAGCCUUGGUGGAUAGAGUUACCUGUUGCUGGUGAGAGGUGGCAGGUAUCCCGUUGAAUUAGUCGAGGUCCGCGAAAGCUGGUACGAACACCACGGUCACCAAAAAAUAAGAAGAAAAAAAAUUCUCCAAAAGGAACUUUCUUGUACUGACAUGUUAUUGUGCUUGCAACUUGGACCUUUAAGAGAAGCUUGUCACUGACUAAUGCUUGUGUGGUUCUAUUGUGCAGUGAGUCUGAUAUUUAUGUGAUUUUUCUAAUAUACCGGGAUAGAUUCUAGGCAUAUAGCCUUGAGCAACAUCCUAAAGUGCUUCAAAUUAGGGAAAAUAAUUUUUUUUUUGAUAAGAUAAGUGGUAUUAAUAACAGCAUCAGGAAGAUGCAAAAUUUACCAGAUAUGGCAUUUGAGCUUACAAAAAAAUCUCUGGCUAACUAUACAAACUAUCUAAGCCAGAGCUAAUGAGUUAGUAAAAUCCUGAAGUUGUUCUGCAUUAACAGCAGGAUACAAGUUGGUCCAACUAAACAAAUUUUCAGUGCACCUAGUCUUCAAACUGCCUAAAGCAGUUGACUCUUCAUCAAAACAUCUCUUGUUCCUCUCUAACCAAAUACACCAAAAAAUACAAGCAGAUAUCAUAAUCCAGAUCUUAUUGAUGGCUUUGUCAACUUUCCAUAGACUCCAACUCUCAUAUGCAUCCUUAACAGUGAGGGGUCUAUCCAGGUAAAAAAAACCUACCUUAGGUGGUAGCUUGGUCCUCCAAAUGAGUUUCCAGGGCCAGUUAGCUAUCACGGGGUUUCUAGAGCACAACUGUUGAUACCCUUCCUUUACUGUAUAAACUCCUUUCUGGUGUCCCCAUUUGAGCUUAUCAGCUGCCUGGAGAUUAAUGUGACAAUGUUGUAGUCUAGCAAAAAGGUCUACCAGAUCAUUCACUUCCCAAUCAUGCAUAUUCCUUCUAAAUCUCAGAUCCCAAUUGAUCCCUUCUCUAUUAGCAGCAAUAACAGAAUUGGGAUCUUGAGCAAUUCUAAACAGAUCUGGGAAAUCCUCCUGAAGAGUGGUAUUUCCAAGCCAUUUUGUCUGUCCAAAAUUUUAGGAGUAAACCAUUGCCCAAUUCAAAGUAAGCGUUCUGAUCAAAUGUAUCCCACAACAUCCUAAUACUCUUCCACAAUCCCACUCCGUAAGGAAGUGUAGUAAUAUUUAAGCAUCAUUGAAAAUAAUUUGUAGAUCUUGGCCAAAUCGACACAACUAAUUUUAAGUUCAUUCUGCUUUUCCUAUCUAAAAUAUACAUUUCUAGCUUUUAUUCAGACCCAAAACUGAUACUUUUUCUCUAUUAUAUAACAGUUGUGGAUGUCCUAGCCCCAGAGUAGCUUGACAUGGGUGUUUUGGUGUGUGCCUCAUGCUUGAUCCAAAGGUUCAUAUUUGUUUGCUUGAUAAAUUAAAUAAAUUAUUUAUCUGUAUACUUGCUCUGAUAUAUGCACAACUUCUACAAGGAAAGUUUGUUGCUGAGGCAAUGUGCGUAAUCGCUGCAAAUAUAAAUGUUCCCAUGAGUGUCAAAUGCAGAAUUGGACUUGAUGAUCAUGAUUCAUACUAUGAACUAUGUAAGCUAUUCAAACUUUCCCUUCCUCACUGGAAAUGAGCAUCAAAAUUCAAUUCUUCAAUGAUCAAUCUCUUGAUUUUUACUUGUUCCUUUCUUUUAUCCUGUAAGUUACAGCUCCAUUUUUAUGUCCUGGCCUUGCUUCAAGAAAAUCAACAAAAAAUGGAGCUCUAGUUUCUUUAUAAUAUAUUUCCAAGCAGGACUUUGCUGACAUUGUUACUGCUUGGACUUUGAAGUAGAUCUUAGACAGCUGACAAUAACUCGUAACUAUGAAAUAGAAACAAAUUCAUGACCACUUAACUCAGAGCAGAAGCCAUAUCCCAAAAAACCCAAAAAUUGGUGGGAACUUGAAAAUAUUUAAAAAUCAGAUUUUCUAAAUCUGAUCAAAUUUUAUGGUCAAAAUAAAUUUUGAAAAUCUACUCACAAUGACCAUAUGUAUUUUUCUGAAAGUUUAUCUUCUCUUAUUAAAUGUUUUUCCUUUUUUGGAUUUUUGACCUUUUUACACUACUAUACAAACAAUCAUGGAUUCUAUCAACAUUUUGAAAACUUCAAUGGGCCAAAUGUAAAUCUUGCCUCACCUUAUAAACAAACUUGUGUAACCCCAAACACCCACACAAACCACAAUCAAAAGUCACGCCCCCUCCACUUCCUCUCUUUCUCUCUCUUUUCCCCCAAAGGGCUUUUCCCAAUUUGAACUCUUCAAAAGUUGCUCAUACACCAAAAUCUUUAUCUCGUGUAUGGCGUUUCACACAGCUUGCCCAUUUACCUGGUACUACAUUCUUUUAUUUUUGUAUUAUUUGUUUAUAAUUUUGUUUAUUUUCUCUCUUUCUCUUUUUAUUAUCUACUCUCUCUUAUCUAGGCCAAGGAUGCCAAAUGGGUUUCAUUGUUCUAUGGUUUCAAGUUGUUUACUGGGGUUAUUCUUAUAAACCAUCCAGCGUUUUUGGGUGUGGGGUUUGGCUAUUUUUUGGUAGCUGGAGGAUCUGCUAUCUCUCUCUCUCUCUCUCUUUAUGGAUGGAUGCGAAAUCGGUUUCUUGGUUUUGUGUUUUGUUGUUUGCUUUGGAAUUUCUGACCCAGUUGAGUGUUUUUGCGUUUGUUGGUGCAGUCGAAAGAUCUGCUUCUGCCCAGAGGGGUUCCCAAAGGGUAAAAAUGAGUUCUUGGAUGUGACUAAAUUUGAGGAGUUUCUCAAGGACCCAUGGGGUCUUAAGGCCAAACAACCUGCUACAUGUCAGGUUAAGGUGCCCAAGCUUCGCGUUGCGUCACCCCCACAGGUGCCUGUAGGUGAUGGGGGUGGCAGCAGCGGCGGGGAUGGUGAGGAGGCAGCUUCUAUUGCUUCAGCUCAGACUAAGCGUGCUGCUUUGCAGAAGAAAGCUGCUGCUGCAUCUAAUGUGGCUGAGGAUUUCGCUAGAGGAUUUCAGUCUGGAGAUGUGGAGGUUAGGAACUGCAGUUUUAAAUUAUUACACGAAAGUAUUCAAUUUUUUUAUUUACAAAUAAAUAUCUGCCCUCAGGGCUCCAUGAAAGAUGUCGGUGGAGAAGAGCAAGGUCUAUCAAAUGUCAAAGUGAUGUGUAGGCUAUGCUUUUCCUGUGAAAAUGAAGGAGGUGAAAGAGCAAGGAAAAUGAUGUCAUGCAAUUGUUGUGGGAAGAAGUGUCACCUAAGCUGCCUGAAAACUUGGGGUCAACAUAGAGGUACUCUUAUGGGCCACAAGAUUUGUCAGUUUUUAGUGUUAUGCUUUUGCUAAUAUGCCCCUUCCUACAGAUCUCUUCCAUUGGAGUUCAUGGACAUGUCCCUCUUGCCGGCUUUGUGAGGUAAACAUUUUGAUUCUUUUCAAUAAAAUAAUGAAACAUAGUUGGUUUUGCUUUUUAAUAACUUCCCAUAAUGUGGCAAUUCUACCAUGAGUUGUUUUUUUUUCUUUUUUUGUGAAUAAGGUCAAAGCUAAUUCGACAAAACAUUGACUUUUAUUACCUAACAAAACGGAAAAAAUAAAUUUAUAUGAGAUAUCAACUGAUGUCCUAAUUUUCUUUGCUAGCCAUAUGCAACAACCUGAGGUUUUCAUAUUUACGCAUUUUAGGUUCUAACCUGUUGCCUAGCCCUAUGAGAGGUCACUCAUGUCAGUUUUGACACACAAAUCUUGGGUAAGGUACAUUGAUUGAAAAUAAAAGAUCCUGACUUGGGUCGGUGUCUUAACUAUAGAAAGAGGUUUUUUCAACUUCUCUAUGUGUCUGCAUGGACAGUCAAUUCAGAAACAAAGAUAUUGCUUUUUAGUCAAUGCUUUUAAAUGGAUCCCUCCGUAUGUGUAUGGUGUAUGACAGUCAAUGGAGAUGGCAAAACAGGUGGAAUUUGACCCAUGGCCCCACUUAUAUGCAAACCCAUUAGUCACUAAUCAUACACUUGCCAUAUCAACUACCUUUUGUCCUGUAAGAAACAGGGAAGACUACUUUCCUCUGGAUCAAGUGGACCCAACUCUAGUAUCCACCAUGUCAAAGCCAAAUAAGCUGCAAGCAAUAAUAGCUUAUAAUGAUAAACCCACGUUGAAACCUCAAUCCCUGGUUGUACGAAGCUAUUUAAUGAACGCAAGUGUUUUCUUGGCUUGGUAACAGAGUUACCUGGUAAGUGUGCUGGUGGAAGGUACCUAGUGAAAUAGUUGAAGUGCUCACAAGUUGGUUAAGGCGCCACAGUUAUUUAAAAAGAAGUUAUUUAAUGUUAAAUAAGUCACUAUAGUUCCAUCACUUCCAUGUUUUUCUUUUUAUGGUGUAAAGUUUGUCAUGUUCAGUUUGCAAUGUGUUACUGAAUCAGAUUACAUUUUCUUCUUGGUUUUUGUUUCCCUCUCUGUUUUUUUUUUAUAACCGAGAAAUCCAUAUGUGACCCGUCCUUUGGACCAAUCACAACCUUCUAAACUCGGUGGAUAAUGAACCCGCCCCUCUACCCUUCUCCACCUAAAUACUGGGCUUCGCUUUGCAUGGUAUGGGGCUUGAACCUGCGACCUAAGCCACAAAUCCUCCACCUUUUGCCACUCGAGCUAGGCCUUCAGGGCAUUUUCCUCUCUCUCUGUUUCUCCAGCUUGCUUUUUCAGUCAUUUGUGCUUUUGUCCUAGUGUUCUUUGGUGACUUCAAUUUUAUUUUUUUGUUUGAGGAAGACUUUGAUUAUAGUUUUUGUUUCACAUUAAACCUUCACAUUGUUUGGAAUGAGAUAGUUGAAUCCGUCUAACCAAUGGUUAACCAAGCCAAAUCAAACAAAGGUUUAUAACCAACUAACUGUUAACCUUUAUCCCUUCCUUUGUUACUCCCUCCGUGGCACCACGAGACUUGCUUCUAGGUUUUACUGUGGAGGUUUCUUGGGGGCAUAGAAAAAUAGCCUUGUAGGUUGGAAUAUUGGUAGGAUUUGAGCAGUACGUUAAAAAUGAAAAUUGCAAAUAAGCAAUAAGGUCUUCAAAGCUUUAAUCAAAAGCAAUAAGCAGCGUUCGAUUCAUCAGACAUAUGAAAUCGCCUAAAUAUAUGAAUUUUGUACUUAUAAGAUCAAGUAGCGAUUAACAUUAUUAUUUUUAGUACCUGUUAUACAAUAAUGACAAUUUGUAGAUUCUAUACCUAAAAUGAAAUAGAAUGAAAAUAAGUUUAAACAAGGUCACAGAAUAAUGAUGGUCAAUAGCAACAUUGGUUUUAGAUUCUCAAUAAAUUGACUAUAAAAGUAAUUAGUUUGCAGCAUUUAAUUUCAUAUUAAAUUGUUUUAGUAACUAUACAUAGAGUUGAAAGAGAAGCAAAAAGAAGCUCAAACUCAGCAGUAGUUUAAGAUGGGGACUUGCAUACAAAGAAAGUGUCAUCUUUGAAGAAGAAAAAGAAAAAGAAAUUUUAAGGAAACACAGAAUCCUAGCCUUACUACGUAGAAAAGUCAAUCCAUUGAUUAUUUCGAUGUUUGGAAGUGGGGUUUGGAAAUAAUGGAAUGUUCUCUGUGAAGUCUUUUUAUGAGAAACUAUUGGUUAUGGAGGAGAUGACUUUUCCAUGUUAUGCAAUAUGGAUCUCAAGGGUGCCCAGGAAGGUGUGCGUUGUCUUUCAUUAGUUGGUGUUACAUGUGUAAGGAGGCAGGUGAGGAUGUGGAUCAUCUUUUCUUACAUUGCAAGCUAACCAUGAGGCUAUGGUGGGAUAUGUUGGGUGGUUGAGCACUCCGUGAGCAUUGCCAAAAACUGUGAAAGAUUUGAUGUUCAGUUGGAAGAGCACAGAAGGAAAAGAAGACGAAGGGCUUAGAACGUGGUUCCACUUGCUUUAAUGUGGGUAGUCUUGAGAGAGAGAGAGAGAGAUGAGAGAUCUUUUGAAGGUGUAGAGUCGAGUUUCUCUCCAUUAAGGAGUAGUCUCAGUUCCCUUAUUUUCUUUUGGUGUGAACAGAAAGUCCCUUGUUUUGACUCCCUCCGUCCCAUUUUUUUAUGAAUUAGUUUGACUCGACAUAGAGUUAAAGAAAGAAAGGAAGACUUUUAAAAUUUGUGGUCUAAAAUAAGUGAUAGAUAUUUGUGUCGCUGUAAAUCAUUUCAUUAAGGGUAAAAUGAGCAUUUUAAUGUGAAAUUGUUACUUGAUGUAGAAAUGUGUCAUUCUUUUUGGGUCCGAUUUAAAAGGAAAGUAAAUUAUAUAAGCUGGGACGGAGGGAGUAAAUGAGAGGGUGGAGUUUGUAAAGAAUCAUAUCCUUUUGUAGAAUAUCUUUUGAUAUAUUCCUUGUAUACGGAUAACUUAGCCAGGUUUAUGAAUGAAAAUACAUUUACUUGAUUAAAAAAAUACAGAAAAACAAUAGCAAAAGUAGAAGCGUUAAAAACUUGAAAUAAAAAGAAAAAUUAAUUGUAGAGAGGAGUACUAGUACCCAUAUAUCCAAAAAUAAUAAAAACCUACCCUUUUUACUCCCUUUUCCCUAUCUUUUCCGUAUUUUGAAGUUUUCAAAUACAUUUUCCGUGCUUCGUUGAAAAAUAUUUCUGUCUCACCUUGUCUGUGCCAAGUUUUCCCAAAGCGUGCACAUCACAGGUGCAGCAAUAACCCCUAACUUGGCAUCACUAGCUUGCAUCAAAACUGGAUUUGGGGAUGUGAAAGGUUUUUGACAUAUUGAAGGAAGAAGUGGUAGAAGGUGCCGGAAGGAUGGUGCUCAUGGAAUUGUUAAUUUUAUUGUCUGAGUGACUGCAAGGACUGGAUUGGCUUAUAUCACACAAAUUGAAGGUGUUGCUGCAUGUGUUGCAUGGGCAGGAAAUGAGUUUAUUGGUUGGGUAUAGUGGUAUUUUAUCAGGAUGUGGGAAAUUUUUGUGAUGGUUUGGAGGGAAAGGGUGGUAGAGGCUGGAAGAUGACAAUAUCAGUAAAUAAGGACUAGAUUUGCUCUCACAAAGACUGGAGUUUAUGUGCUGAUGAGAUAUACACAAGGAUGAAUGGAGUUUAACCUAUUGUCUUUCUUUUCUAUUUGAGUGGCUCAUGGUCAGGGAUGUCACUGAUAAUGGCUUUUUAUAUGCUCCUGUUAAUUGCUAGGUAGGCUGCUAAUCUAUUUGAGGCAGCAUCACAUGAAGCGCAGUUUCUACUCAAAUAUUGAUUAUCAAACAUAUUAGUUUGAAAAGAUCUCUUCAAGUAUGAAAUAUCUCUAAAAAAACUAUUGGAAGUGUCCCUAUCGAGUAGGAUUAUACAUGAAACUAUUUUGGCCGCUUUUUGUUUGUUUUAAUCUUUUGUAUAAAGCAACUCUUCUGUUUGAUAAUUGGACAUGCAUUCUGCAUCAUACACUAGUGAUUAAUGCAUUUUUAGCUAUUUGAUGUCUAUGUUAUUGUUCAACUCAUGUUCUUAUGCUUACUAUAUUGUUCAUAUAUACUUACUGUAUGUAUGCUCCUUUUUUGGUGUAGGGCUGUCAAACAACUGGAGAUCCAAACAAGUUCAUGUAUUGCAAAAGGUGCGAUGCAGCUUAUCACUGUCACUGUAUGCAGCCUCCACACAAGGUGGAUUAUCGUGUCUUACUCUUCCAGUUCUGUAUAAUGAUAAAAGUCGAUUGUACUUAGUUGUUUUUGGGAUGUGCAGAACGUUAGCAGUGGGCCUUAUUUGUGCCCCAAACACACAAAGUGUCACAGCUGUUGUUCUAGUAUUCCAGGAAACGGACUGAGCGUGAGGUAUGUAGUAUGGGGCCAUGUGCAGCUAGUGGACAUUCUCUUGGAUUCACGUUUUGCUGGAAAUGUUAAUUGAACAGUCUAAUUAACUCCAUUUUAGUUAAACUGCUUAUUCAUGUACUUCUCUAUGUCAUUUUUUCUGUAUCUUCACAGAGGAGCAUCAUGUAGGAGUUCCAUUUAUGUUAUAUAUUGUGAUAAGGGCUAUGAAAGCAAUUUAAAUCAGUUCUCUAGUUUUGGGCUUGCCCGUAGCACAUUUAAUAUUCCGCACUAAUAUCUUAUAGAGAUUUUAAAAUACAAAUAUUGCAAUAGUAGCGUCAGAUAAUGUUGUGUGCUGCAUGUGAUAUAUGAAAAUCAUUUAAGGCAUUGCAUAUCCUAUGAAAAUCAUUUAAGGCAUUGCAUAUCCUAUGAAAAUCAUUUAAGGCAUUGCAUAUCCUAUGAAAAUCAUUCAAGGCAUUGUAUAUCCUAUUGCCUCUGAACUAUUGAUAUCUUGAUCUAUGGCAGGUGGUUUCUAGGAUACACUUGUUGUGAUGCUUGUGGAAGAUUAUUUAUGAAGAGAAAGUACUGUCAAGUUUGUUUGAAGGUAGAUAUUUUGGCAGUUAUUAUUAUUUGAGCUUUUCUUUGUUUAAUCUUACAAUGAGUUCUUUUUACCAUGGUGGUUUAUCAAUGUGAAGUUGCUAAUUUGUCGGCUAUGAUUACUGGAUGCCUUGGCUUUCAUUGCCUUUCCAAAACAACUGAGUGUUUUUCUUUCCAUAGAUCUAUGGGAAAUGCAAUUAAUUGUUUUUUAUAAUGUAGGUUUAUCGAGAUUCUGAAACAACACCUAUGGUUUGCUGUGACAUUUGUGAGCGCUGGGUGCACAGCCAAUGUGAUGGCAUCAGGUUUACCUUAUAUAUUGCUUUUAAGAUUAUUAAUUUAUUGGUUUUGCUUUGGCACCUUUCUUAUGAAGUGCAAUUUUAUUUCUUAACACCGAGCUGAUGUGGAUGUGCAUUAGGUUAGACUUUUCUGUUCUGGAAUUAAAUAUCCGAAAUUUAUUAUUGACAGCUUCCUAUACCUUUUGUGGUGUUCUUGCAGCAGAUUUUGCUAUGUUAAAAUGUGGAAAGUGUUACCAAGAAUAGUGUCAUCAUUCUCCUUCUCCUUUGAUUGUUUCAUUGAAUAAUUGAAUGGUAUUUUUGGGAUUGCUGUUUAUGCUUCAUUAAGCAUUAUUAAGAGUUUUAAUGUAAAUUUUCUAGAGGUAAGAAAGCUCUGCAGUCUCGGGCUUCUACUGGUUGUAACCCAGAAUAGAUGACAUAGCAUAUACGAGAAUGACAAUUCUUUUGUGUAUUGAUUUAUUGACAUUGGUAUGUUGAUGUGAUUGUAUGAAUGAUUUUGCUUCACGGACUAAGCUAAAACAGCAUGAAUGAAUGAAAAAGGAAAAAGAAAAUUACUGUUGGGUGGUUUUUGUAAUUUUCUGCAACGAUAGUGGAAAAAUAUGGCCAAUUUUGGGGAAUGCAUUUGACUAUCAUAUUAUAUGUGACCAUCAUCAAUGGGUAAAAAUCAAAUUCUUUGAAGAUGAUAAGGAAAAAACUCAUGAUGUCUAAAAAGCUGUUUGGCACAUUUUUUUUGGUGGAUACAAAACUUUUCCAAGGAAGUAAAGGGAACUUCCAGCUAUUUAAAUAUUAAACGUGAAAAGUUCCCUUUAACCUGUGUUUUGGAUGCUGAAAGGAGACAAGGGUCUGCCUUGUCAAUUGAGACGCCAAUUAAUAUCAAAAACUCUUUCCUAAAAAAAACCAAAAACUUAAAAUAUUUAAUUGCAUAUAUACAUAUCUAAAAUCUCAACAGCAAUAACAUAUUAACAAAAAUUUCAAUUCAAAAACUAAUAGUAGAUACUAAAAGAUUAGAACUUGAAUGACUCAAUAAUUCACAAGACAAUUGACAAGAAAUACUAGAACUACAAAAACAAUAGAGACUGCACAUUGUUGAGUGCUAACAGAGAUAAAAAAAAAAACAAAGCAUGAAAGAAGAAGAGAAGAAGAAGAGAAAAAGAAGAAAAAGUGUUGGAAACGUACCUACUGAGGUCACGAAGCAGAGGAUUGAAGGAGAAAGAAGAAGAGAUAUGUUGAUGGUCGCGACUACGAUGAACUGGAGAGAAAAAAGGGAGAAGAGAGUCGUGUUUGUCCAAAACAUCAAAUAAACCCUAAUAUUGCCUUUUAAUUAUUAAAUUAAGCAUGUUUUUUUUUUUAAAAAGGUGACACCUUUGUCACCAGGCGACUCGCCGUUUGUUUUCUUUUUGAUAUCACCCCGCCUCGCUAGUAAUAGGCAACAAGGCCUUGCCUCACCUCUUGCCUAAGGCGAUAAGGCACUCGCCUUUCACAACCCUACCUUCAAAUAUUUAGGAUGUGUACCUUUUUGAAUUGUAUCAAGGGGGAAGUUUGAUCUAUUAAAGAGGUACCUAGCAUUUCAUCAAUAUGAAAGAGGGAAGCUUCAACGUUGUACCUAUACAAUUAAGGUCUUCCGAUGGAUAAGCUUCAGUGGACAAGGUAGGCGGCUAAUCGGAAUUCAUUUUCAGAGCUAAGUCUCAAGGAGGCAGGUUGGACCUAGUACGAGAGGAAUCGUUGAUUGACACAAUUGGUCAUCGCGCUUUGGUAAAAAGCAAGUGGUGCGAAGCCACCAUGUUAUGACUGAAUGUCUUUACCUUUCAACUAUUUAGGAUGUGUCCUAUUUUGGUAGGAAAAAGAUAGAACUACUUCACAUAUAUGGCAAUUGAAUUCAUUAAAAGGAUUAAUGGUUUGCAAGGAAAAUUGUUAUUCCUUGGUGGUUACGAGCCUUUCAAGAUUUUGAUUAACUAAUGACAGAUCAUUUCAAACGAGGACAUACAAUCGACAUUUAUGAACAUUGCCUAGCAUAAUUUGUUGAUAAUUGUGGAGGAACCAAGACUUGCAAAUCUUAAGUUAAAUAGAACUUCCUCUGUUUCAAUUUAUGUGGCACACUUACCUUUUCAGUUUUUUCCUUAAAAGCAUGUCACGUUUUUAUAAUUGGAAAUAAUUUAACUUUAAGACUUUCCCUUUUACCCUUAAUGAAAUGAUUUAUAGCCACAAAUUUCAAGUCUUCCUUUCUUUCUUAAAAUUUGUGUCAAGUUUAACGAUGCCACAUAAAUUGAAAUGGAUGUAGUAAUAAUGUUGAGGAUAGAGGGAGUAAUUGUUUGUAGAGAAAAGUUGUAAGUGAUCUCACGUGGUUGUCCAAAAAGUUAUUUACACACAUUAACUUUACGGGUGAUCGAAUACUCCCAACUCUUGCUUGAAGUGUAACUAAUACCCUGAAAAGGUUUCAUGUGAUAUGCCAAAGAUAGCUAAGUUGCUCAGGCUCGAGUGCGGAUCCUCUCUAAAUUUUAAGAAUCGGGGAUACAGAUCAGUCUAUGAAUACAGGUCGGGGAUUCGACUAAAAAUAAUUCAAAUGUCUAAAAAUAGAGAUAUAAAACCUUAAUUAUGAGAUAUGAUGUGGAUAACUUGAGGAGAAAAUUAUUGACUAAUAGGAGAAUCAUGGAAGAAUAUAAAAGAAAAGGCAGUGACCAUAGAAAUUUAUAUAUAUAUAUAUAUAUAUAUANNNNNNNNNNNNNNNNNNNNNNNNNNNNNNNNNNNNNNNNNNNNNNNNNNNNNNNNNNNNNNNNNNNNNNNNNNNNNNNNNNNNNNNNNNNNNNNNNNNNNNNNNNNNNNNNNNNNNNNNNNNNNNNNNNNNNNNNNNNNNNNNNNNNNNNNNNNNNNNNNNNNNNNNNNNNNNNNNNNNNNNNNNNNNNNNNNNNNNNNNNNNNNNNNNNNNNNNNNNNNNNNNNNNNNNNNNNNNNNNNNNNNNNNNNNNNNNNNNNNNNNNNNNNNNNNNNNNNNNNNNNNNNNNNNNNNNNNNNNNNNNNNNNNNNNNNNNNNNNNNNNNNNNNNNNNNNNNNNNNNNNNNNNNNNNNNNNNNNNNNNNNNNNNNNNNNNNNNNNNNNNNNNNNNNNNNNNNNNNNNNNNNNNNNNNNNNNNNNNNNNNNNNNNNNNNNNNNNNNNNNNNNNNNNNNNNNNNNNNNNNNNNNNNNNNNNNNNNNNNNNNNNNNNNNNNNNNNNNNNNNNNNNNNNNNNNNNNNNNNNNNNNNNNNNNNNNNNNNNNNNNNNNNNNNNNNNNNNNNNNNNNNNNNNNNNNNNNNNNNNNNNNNNNNNNNNNNNNNNNNNNNNNNNNNNNNNNNNNNNNNNNNNNNNNNNNNNNNNNNNNNNNNNNNNNNNNNNNNNNNNNNNNNNNNNNNNNNNNNNNNNNNNNNNNNNNNNNNNNNNNNNNNNNNNNNNNNNNNNNNNNNNNNNNNNNNNNNNNNNNNNNNNNNNNNNNNNNNNNNNNNNNNNNNNNNNNNNNNNNNNNNNNNNNNNNNNNNNNNNNNNNNNNNNNNNNNNNNNNNNNNNNNNNNNNNNNNNNNNNNNNNNNNNNNNNNNNNNNNNNNNNNNNNNNNNNNNNNNNNNNNNNNNNNNNNNNNNNNNNNNNNNNNNNNNNNNNNNNNNNNNNNNNNNNNNNNNNNNNNNNNNNNNNNNNNNNNNNNNNNNNNNNNNNNNNNNNNNNNNNNNNNNAAAUAUAUAUAUAUAUAUAUAUAUAUAUAUAUAUAUAUAAGGUAUUCCAUUUCUUUAAUUUCACCUUAGUUUUAAGUUUUGAUUUUAGAAAUCAUUGACUGUCCAAAAUUUCUCCCUCAAAUUUGGUCAAAGUACCCAAAAUCGGUUGACCGAUUGGUACGGAUCCCACACCUACACCUACACCUACACCUACACCCACAUCGUAUCAACACGAGUGCGGCACCGAAAAUGAAGAGUUCGAGCAACUUAGAAAGAAAAGUAUUACCAACUUAUAGAAAGUGCGUGAGAAGAGGGAAAAACACAAUAAACAAUUCUAAGAUUACAUGUGCCUUUUUCUAAUUGGUUGAUAUAUAAUUAGUUAUACAAGUUUAAUAUUUUCUUUAACAACAUACCUAGUGUAAUCCCACAAGUAAGGAUUGAAAAGGGUAGAGUGUAUACAACCUUACCCUUACCUUAUCAUGGUAGAGAGAUUGUUUCUGAUAGAUCCUCAAUUCAAGUAAAGCAUAUUAAAUCAGGUAUGAAAGUAAUGGAGAAAGAAGUAGUUAUAUAUUCCUUAAUUUAUAUAAAUGUUUGUAGGGGAACUCGUGGUGUUUUAAAAAAGUUAUUUACAUACCUUAACUUUACAGCAACCUAAUACUCCCUAUUCUUGAUUGAAGUGGAACUAAGAUCUCCCCAAAAGGUGAUGUGGCAAAGAAAGUGUUACCGACUUCUUGGAAGUGCGUGAGAAGAGGAGAAAACACUAUAAAUGGUUCCAACAAUACAUUUGUCAUCUUCUAAUUGAUUGUUUUAUAAUUAAUUGUACUUAAUUAAUAUAUUCCUUAAAAUAUAACAACAAUAUACACAUUUUAAUCUCACAAGUGGGUUUGAAGAGAGUAUUGUGUAUGUAUCUUAACCUACAUUAUGAAGGUAGAUUGGCGGAUUCUAAUAGACCCUCAGUUCAAGUAAAGCACAUCAAAUCAUAUAUCAAAAUAAUGGAGAAAGAACUAGUUAUAUACUCCUUAAUUAUAUAAUAUAAUUGUUUGUAGGGGAAGUCAUAAGUUACGUCCCAUGGUUGUUCAAAAACGACAUCUGCACACCUUAACUUUACAGACGACCUUAUAUUCCCCACUUUUGUUUAAAGUAGAACGUUCCCUAAAAGGUGAGUUAGGCCCAAGACUUAACUUUACGUAGUAUCACGGUAAAACCAAUCUCACUCAAUGUUGACCCUUAAAUUAAAAUUUCCCCACUCACUACAUGUUCAACGCUAGGCAUGAAGAAUGAAAAACUUCCCACAUCGGUGGUUAAUGUAAUGGGUGGUCUACUUAUAAGGCUUGGACAAUCCUCUUAAGCUAGCUUUUGGGGUAUGAGUUAGGCCCAAGACCUAACUUUACAGACAUAUAAUUUAGUAUACUUGAUUGAUAUAUUCCUUAAUUUAAUAAUUGGUUGUUGGGAAAAGUCACAAGUUACAUCUUGUGGUUGUCCAAAGAAGUUAUUUACACACUUAAAAUUUACGUGCAACCUUUGCUCCCUACUUUCUUUUGAAAUGGAACUAAUAUCCUUCUAAAAGGAGAUGUGACAAAGAAAGUGUAACCAACUUCUUGAGAGCACGUGAGAAGAGGAAAAAACACUAUAAAUGGUUCUAACAAUGCACAUGUCAUCUUCUAGUUGGUUGAAAUAUAAUUAAUUAUACUUAGUUAAUAUAGUCCUUGUUGAAUUGUGUUUUCUUAAUAUUCUCUUUAUUUGUUUCCUCUUUUUCUCUUUUCUUCGUUUUCUCUUUCUUUUCUUUUUCCCACUCCUUCAUUUUCUUGGUCAACUUUACUAGACCUGUGCCAUCUCCGCUAGUCUAAGUUGCUCGGACUCGGGUGUGGGUGUCCGAUAUGGGUGCGGAUCUAAAGGUCAGAUCCUUCAUGAUCUAAUUUUUAAGAUUCGGGGAUACAGAUCUGUGAGAAAUAUAGGAGAAAAAUAUUAUUGAAAUUGUUGUUGUUUAUAUAUUAUUACAUUGAGACCCUAUUUAUAGACACUACAAUACAAUCUUUUACCAAGUUGGAUAUUAUUUACUAUUCUUAUUUCUAUUUCUAUUCUAAAUAGGAUUGUAUAAACCUAUUCUUAUUCUAAUAGGAUUGCAUAAACUUAUUCAUGUUCUAACGCUCCCCCUCAAGCUAGUGCAUACAAUUCAUGUACCUAGCUUGUUACAAAUGUAAUUAAUACGAGGAUCGAUGAGGAGCAUGGUGAGAUAUCUGCAAGUUGAUCAAUCGACUUAACAAAAUUGACAGUCAAUCUCAAUGUGCUUGUCUUCUUAUUAAAUACUGGAUUUGAUGCAUACAGUCAGUCAAUCUCAAUCUCAAUGUGCUUAAUCUUUUCAUAAAAUAUUGAAUUUGAUGCAUAAUGCCGAUAAAACACAGAGUGAUAAAAUUACAGUGUUGAACUUCCCAAACCAAGCUUGCAAAGACUGUUUCAGACCAUAGAGUGACUUACGUAAUCGACAUACAAGAUUACUAAACUCCCCCCGAGCAACAGAAUUAAGUGGUUGCUCCAUAUAGACUUCUUCACAAUGCAGUGGUCGCUGAAAAGUGCUCAAAAUCUAGUACAAAGUAUAUGGAUCAUGUUGGAAUUAAAUAGAGGGGUCGAUAGUAAACAAGAAAGUAACUGAAAAACUAGCUGAAACAUGCUCAUAUGGCAGGGUAUUAGAUUUGAUGGCUAAAAGUGGUCACAAUCUAACAAAUAAUAUUAUAUGGGUAGGGUCGGAAUGAUGGCACGACCCAACUGAAAAAUAGAAAUAUAUAGGAGAUGUCAGAUUCACUGCACAAUCCUAUUGAAAAAGAGAAAUAAUAUGGGUAAUAGCCAUUUGCCGACAGCGGAAGCUCUUUGAUUCUCUACCAAGAUCGUAGAGACUCUGAUACCAUGUGAGAAAUAUAGGAGAAAAAUAUUAUUGAAAUUGUUGUUGUUUCUACAUUAUUACAUUGAGAACCAUGUUUAUAGACACUACAAUACAAUCUUUUACCAAGUAGGAUACUAUUUACUAUUCUUAUUUCAAUUUCUAUUCCUAUUCUAAUAGGAUUGUAUAAACCUAUUUCUAUUCUAAUAGGAUUGUAUAAACCUAUUCAUGUUCUAACAGGAUCCAUGUAUGGAUAAAGGUGCGGGGAUUCACCCAAAAAUUAACUAGAAUAUCUAAGAAUAGAGCUAUAAAACCUAAAUUAUGAGAUAUUAUGUGAAGAACUUAAUCCUAGAAGGAGAUCAAAGGAAAAGGAGUGACACAGAAAUUUCUAUAUAAAAGGUAUUCCAUUUCCUUCAAUUUCACCUUAGCUUUUGUAUUGAUUAUAGUAAUCGUUAAAAUUGUCCAGACUUCCCCCAUCGAUUUUGGUCAAAGUACCCAAAAUCGAUUGACCAAAUCACACCCACACCCACACCCACGUCAUGUCGACACGGGUGCGUCACCAAAAGUGAAGAGUCCAAGCAACUUAGUUGCUGGUCACUUCCCCGCACCAUUUUCUUUUCUUCUUUUGUCAUCUUUAAAUAAGUUUCUUUCUAGGGUUAGAUAUUAAUAAAAUGCUUAAAAGUUCAGAAGAUCUCUUCGACUAAAAAUUUGUUUGCCGGCCACCAUGUUUUCUGGCGAGGUAGGUAUUCUCUCUUCCUAAAAUAUUGUUCAAAACAAUUUUUUCAGAUCUUUACCUUGAAAAAUCGAAAACAAGAUUCAAAAGAAAUGAAAAAACAAUUUCAUCUUCGCUGGAAAAUUAAAAUUUGGUGAUCUUCUUUUUCGUCCUUUUUGGAGCUAUCUAUCUUAUCUCAGAACUACCUUGUUAAGAACUUUCAAUUAUGAGUCAUGGUGUUAUGUGUGGUGCAUCUCAUUAUUGAACUUCAAUGGGAGUUUCUCUUGAAGCAAUAAUGUGUUGAUCUAGACGCCACCAAAUCCACAAAGGACUAUCUAAAUUGAUUUGUUUCUGCCGAUUUUUCCUAAUUGUGCAACCCAAAGCUUCGAUGGAAAUUGAAAAUAGGGUGAAGUAGAAAAAGAAGUAAGAAGAAGGGGAAAAGUGGGAAAAAAAAACAAUGCCUAAUAAAUUGAAAAAAUUCCAAAUAUAUAUUAUACACGUGUCAGGCGUAUGUAUAAUAAACGUUUUUAUAUAAAUUUGGUAUUGUCUGGAGAAGGGGGUAAUAGUACCACUUAAAAUAAGAAUAAGGAGUAGGAGGUCACCCGGAAAGUAUCAGUGUGUAAAGGACUUGUGUUUUCUAAGAAAGCAAGCCUUUCAAGUAAGGCUUGAAAGAAGGCAGACGAUCCAAUCAGAUUAUAAAGAAGAUAGACGAGAAGAUAAGGGACGAAAGACUUUUUGAAAUUCGAUUGGUGUAAACAUGAUAUUAAUUAGUCUUUGUCCUUUUUUAAGAGUCUCCAGACGCUCCUUGUCCUAAGUCCCAUACAUCCGGUUACCUUUGCGGAUUUCCGCCGUCUGCUUUUGCGCUAUUGUUACUUACAACGUCUCUUCUCUUACGCAAUUACUGACUAGUUGUAGAACAACUAUAAGGGCAUUUCUACUUUGUAAUCAAAUAGUUUCCAAAUGUUGAUUUCAAACUACCACAGUUAAGCCAGAUGACAUAAUGUGUCGCCUUUGUUAGUCUUGCAUUGACUAGAUGAAUUGUUUUUUUGGAAAUUGGAAAGAGAUGGCAAAUGUACGGAUCAAUUAUAUUUGAAUCUUAUAUAGAGAGGUCUUUUAUUAUAUUUGAGUUUUUUUUUGGAGCAAUUCAGAAGAUUUACGUUUCUUUCUUAAAUGAAGAAUUUGAAAAAAUAUCCUCGAAUAGUUUUAUUGAAAUGAAUCUUUUUCCUGGAAUAGUUAUUGAAAUGAAUUAAUGAGUAAAUAUAAAAUUUAAUCGAACAAGAGAAACACUGAACUUAAGACUUUUUGCCCUUUCUUAAACUCGAAUUAAGGACAAUGUUUCCAAGAAUAAUCUCAUCAUUCCCCAUUGACUUUUAUUGUUUCAUUGAAUGAUUGAAUGACAUUUUUGGGACUGCUGUUUAUGCUGCAUUCUGCCUUGUUAAGAAUCGAGUCAGUUGACAGGGUGCUAGUUCUAAUUUCCAGAAAGUUCCUCUUGUUCUCUUCACUAUAUAAAUAUCCUGACAUAUUUGUGGUUUGCCAAUUUGUUCUCCUGUCAUUCAUGCGAUAUAAAGCUGUUAAAUUAUGUAACCUUGAUUGUACUUCCACUGAAGCUUUGAGAGAGGGGCUCCAUUGGAAAUUCUAAUUUGAAAAUGGGUAUUUGCUUUGCAGCGAUGAAAAAUAUUUGCAGUUUCAAGUGAAUGGAAAUUUGCCGUAUUCAUGUCCAAAAUGCCGCGGAUAUAGUUAUCAGGUGUGUUUAUGGCAGUGAUUAAUUUCACUAGAAAAGUUAAUCAAGGACUCUAUCCUGAUAAUUCUCUAUUGAUGUUCUCAGUCCAUAAAUCGUGAGAAUGCUGUUCAGGAGCUUUGGAGGAGGAGAGAUUUAGCUGAUAGGGAUUUAAUUGCAAGUUUGAGGGCAGGAGCUGGGUUGCCAGUUGAAGAUGAAAUGUUUUCUAUUUCACCCUUUUCAGAUGAUGAAGAUACUGCUCCUGUAGUAAAAAAUGAACAUAAAAAAUCCUUGAAAUUUUCUCGUAAAGGUUUAGUUGACAAAUCUCCCCAAAAGAGCAAGGACUAUGGAAAGAAAUCUGGUAAAGGGAAGGGGUUAACUGGACAAAAUGAAGGACAUCCAGAUGCUCCAUCUGGUGGAUAUAGUGCUGGUGAUGUCAAGAAUGAUGAAUUGCAGGCUUAUGGGGAACUAGAUAGCUUUUCUUCUCCUGCUGCUAGCUUGACAGAAGGUAUAUGUUCAUUUAAUAUGGCAGGGGUCAUAAAGCACAAAUUUAUAGAUGAGGUUGCUGGAAACACGGGUAAGAGGACAGUCCAAAGGAAAGGUAGCAAGCCUCAGCGUUUGGAUGGGGAUGAUGUUGGAAUUCAAACAAGCAUGCCAAAGACCUCCAAGGAGCCAAAAGGUGUUAUUCAUUUGGGCUCGCUGGAUAAAAAUAUAGCAGGUUCCCCGAAGUCCGAUGCUUCAAGCUGUCAGAAAGAGCAAGUUUUGACUACUUCACAUGGUAAUUUUUAUUUUAUAUUUGUAGUCUUCAGGUUCCUCUUUCUUUCCGUUUUCUUAUUUGGAUGAAUCUUGUUUAAACUAUGGCUUCUCCAUAGAGUUUGAUGACUGUAGAUAUGCUUUUCUACUAGCUUGCAUCACUUAUGACACAAAAGCUACGGUUUUCUAAAUUGUUAUCUCAUCCAGACAAAAGUUCCGCCGGUGAGAAAGAUGAUCUUAGUUUUCCUCUGUGCAUUUUUAUUUCUUCGAGAUUUUCAUCUAUGAUUGGUAAGGAAUUCAUAUACAAGUUUCCCCAGGUGUUAAAAGUGGUAAGAGAGCAUCGCAUGAUACGUGGAUUAAGAUCACGUCCCUGUGCUAACAAAAGCCUGAUAUUUAAGUGAAGAAGGGUAGAUGCACAUGCUCAUUAUCCCCACAGUUUUGAACCUUAUGUCAAUGGCCCUUGAGAAUUUCCCGGUUAUAAAGAAAGGACAUAUAAGUUGCCUAAGGGAUAUCAUAAAAUACCGUGAUUCUUGGGUUUCUUUUUGUUAGUAGAUGUCAUAACUCAUAAGUAUCUCUAAUAUUGGUUAUAAAGAAAGGACAUAUAAAUUGGCUAAGGAAUAUCAUAAAGUACCGUGAUUCUUGGGUUGCUUUUUUUUUUGUAGAAGUUAAAAGCAUCUAUUAUGUACGUUCUCGCAAUGCAUUUUCUUGUAGAUAAAAAACUAGCGUGGAAGUAAACUUAUGCUGCAUAUUUCUUCUCAUUUCCUUGGAUAAUUGGCUGCUUAUUUGGCAUAUUUGGAAUGUGUGCUUUGGUCAUCAUGUGAUCUGAUGUUUGUUCUUUUUUUUAUUUCUUCUUCAUGACUUAAGUUGAAAUUCUUUUGAAAAUAAAGCAAUGGGGGAUUUUAAGUUGUGUCCUCAAAGUUUAACAUAACAAUAUUAAUAUUAGUUAAACAAUGGUAAAAAUGUAAGCCAGUAGUUUAAAACAUUUUUCUUUUAAUGAUCUUGACAAAUCUUAAAAGAGUAGCACUAAUGUACAUCUUACUAACAGACUUCUUCCCUUUUCUCAAGACACUGAAUUUGUUGUCUUAAUGGAUACACUCUGGCAUAAAACAGAGGAGUUCUCUUUUUAUAAUUCAGAUUCUUUCCUCUGUCUGAAUACUUGCAGCUGAAGAGUCCGUAAAGCUGCUAAUGACUCACAAAAAAUUAGAAUUAAAAUAACCUUAAUGUAUUUAAGUUCAUGCUGCAUAUUAUUAUUGUUUUUUGAUGUUAACACCCACACCAACACACAGUGGUGUACGCAGGAUUUUUCGUAAGUGGUGUCACCUGUUAAAAUGAGAAAAUAAAUAAAAUAAUAUAAACCAUAUUUUUUUUAAAAACACACAAAUAAAACACAAUCCAUGUAUAUUUUUAUAUUCUUUUCUAAAAAUAUUAAAUAAAAAAUACAUUAUAUUUUUUUUCGAUGAGUUUUUUUUUUAUGAAAUGUACUCAAAUUAAUCUCCUUGAUAAUAUUAUUCUAAAUUUUUGUUUAUAAAAACAAAAUACCAAAUAAUUACUAAACAAAGAAGGUCAAAGAAAAACAAACAUACUAAAUAUUUGUUUAUACAAACAAAAUACAAAAUAAUUACUAAACAAAGAAGGUCAAAGAUUCCUAUCUGGCCAUGGAGACAAAUUUGGAAAGGCAGAAUUCCUUAUCAAGUCUCAUGUUUUAUAUGGCUGCUAGCUAAGGAAGCAGCUUUGACACAGGAUAAUGUUAUGAAAGGGGGAUAACCUUAUGUUCUAGGUGUUUCUUUGUGGAGAAACAUCAGAAACUGUUAUCCAUCUUUUUCUACACUGCAAAUUUACUCAACAAUUAUGGAGGGUAUUCUUGAGUCUCAAAAGGCAUAUCCUGGGCUAUGCCUAGGAGAAUUACUGAAGCCCUAAAAAGUUGGGAGAGGCAGGAGUGCUAGCUAAAGACAGAACGAGAUGGAGAAUUAUCCCUGCUUCAAUCUGGUGGGCAACCUGGAAAGAGAGAAAUUCUAGGUGUUUUGAGAGCGUAGAGAAUAGUAGGUAGAAAGUUAAACUCAACUGCAUUUUGUUGUUAUGUUUUUGGUGCAAUCAAUUAUACUCAAAUGAAACUGUCUCUAUAAUUGAUGUUCUAGAUUCAAUUUAGAUUUAGAAUAGUGGAUUUUGGAGUUCAUCUGUAUAUAAGGUUUAGUACUGCCCAUGUACGAUUGUGUUAUAAUACAAAGUUACCAAGUUUCAAAAAAAAAGAAGGUCAAAGAAAAAAAAACAUAAAAAAUGAGGCUAUGUAGGAUUGAACAUGCAACCUAGCCAAAGGAAUUUCAGCACAAAACCAACUAAGCUACGCGCUUCUAUUGUUCAAGCAGUGUCACUUUUAUUAUAUACACUAUAUAUUUGCUUUUGUUUCAUAAUUGUAUGCCUAUUUAGCAAUUUUUUCCGACGAAGAAGUGUCACGUGACACCCCUUCUCCCUUCCUAAAUCUGCCCCUGCCAACACACACCUACACUUAAAAAAUUUAGAAAAUUUGGUUGAAUUUGUAAAUCAAUGAGCUCAUUGUCGAAAUGGAUAGGCGGCAAUACUUCUGUUGUUCCCAAUUUAUUUUUUCAAAUUCGAUUUCUGGAUUCGCUAUUGCAUCUGUUGUUCCCUAAAUUCUUGCAAUUCAAUGUCUAAAUUGAUUGAUCAAGGAAGCAAAGUCUCUUGAGAUAGAGUAAUUAGCUUCAGUAUUCUAUACUUCUGUUCUUAUAUGGUGUAGAUCCUUUACUUUUUUGUAUACCUCUUGUAUAUGGGAGAUUUUCACGUUACUAAAAUUAUUUACCUUAUCAAAAUAUAUUAUUAUAUGUAAUUCUUUGUUUAUCAGGUUAUAAGGAUCUGGUUCAGCUCAGAGAGAAUGAGAACUCAGAGAGGAAUGAGACUGCGGCAACACUUGGUGGUGGAAAAGGUAAGAUGUGUUGUAACUUUUUUAUUUUUUAUGUUGGUGGCGGGGAAAGAAGAUAAGAUUGUAUUUGUUGGUUUUAGGAUUAUACUUUUAAUAUUCUACUAGUAACUCUUCUUUUUGGCUCUCGUUUUUGUGUCAAAAGAAAGUAACUUAAUAGAGAUCACGAAAGUUAGCUCAGAAGCUACUCAUUUCCCUGCCAAAGUUGGUGGAAAAUUUGCCGAUGGGUCUAGACCUUAUCCUCAACUCAAGACUUCUGGUAUUUUGCUUUCGUCAUCAUGUGAUCUGAUGUUUGUUUUUUUUUUUUUUUUGCUUUCUUCAUGACUUAAGUUGAAAUUUUUUUGAAAGUAAAGCAAUGGGUGAUUUUAAGUCAUGUCCUCAAAGUUUAACAUAACAAUGUUAAUAUUAAUUAAACAAUGGUAAAAAUGUAAGCCAGUAAUUUCAAUGUUUUUCUUUUAAUGAUCUUGACAAAUCUUAAAAGAGUAGCACAUGUGUACAUCUUACUCACAGACUUCUUCCCUUUCUCAAGACGCUGAAUUUGAUGUCUUAAUGGAUACAGUAUAGCAUAAAACAGAGGAGUUCUCUUUUUAUAAUUUAGAUUCUUUCCUCUGUGUGAAUACUUACAGCUGAAGAGUCCGGAAAGUUCACAAAAAAUUAAAAUUAAAUUAACCUUAAUGUAUUUAAGUUCAUGCUGCAUACUAUUAUUGUUUUCUGAUGUUAACACCCACACCAACACACACCCACCCACACACACUUGGAAAUUUUAGAAAUUUUGGUUAAAUUUGUAUCUAAGUUCAAUGAGCUCAUUGUCGAAAUGGAUAGCCGGCAAUACUUCUGUUGUUCCCUAUUUAUUUAUUUUCGAAUUGGAUUUCUGGAUUCGCUAUUGCAUCUGUUGUUCCCUAAAUUCUUUCAGUUCAAUGUCUAAAUUGAUUGAUCAAGGAAGCAAAAUCUCUUGAGAUAGAGCACUAGCUUCAGUACUCUAUACUUCUGUUCUUAUAUGGUGUAGAUUCUCUACUUUUUGGUAUACCUUUAGUAUAUGGGAGAUUUUCACGUUACUAAAAUUACUUACCUUCUCAAAAUAUAUUAUUAUAUGGACUUCUUUGUUUAUCAGGUUAUGAGGAUCUGGUUCAGCUGAGAGAGAAUGAAAACUCAGAAAGGAAUGAGACUGCAGCUAUACUUGGUGGUGGAAAAGGUAAGACGUGUUGUAACUUUUUUAUUUUUAUGUUGGUGGCGGGAAAGAAGAUAAGAUUGUGCUUGGUGAUUUUUGGAGCAUACUUUUAAUAUUCAGAUCACAUGAUGACCAAAGCAAAAUACCAGAAGUCUUGAGUGGAGGAUAAGGUCCAGAUCCAUCGGCAAAUUUUCCACCAACUUUGGCAGGGAAAUGAGUAGCUUUUGAGCUAACUUUCUUGAUCUUUAUUAAGGUACUUUCUUUUGACACAAAAACAAGAGCCAAAAAGAAAAGUUACUAAUAGAAUAUUAUUAUUAUUUUUAUUUUAUUUUUUCUAUUUCAAAAAAAAUAUUCUAUUAGUAACUUUUCUUUUUGGCUCUCGUUUUUGUGUCAAAAGAAAGUACCUUAAUAAAGAUCAAGAAAGUUAGCUCAAAAGCUACUCAUUUCCCUGCCAAAGUUGGUGGAAAAUUUGCCGAUGGAUCUGGACCUUAUCCUCCACUCAAGACUUCUGGUAUUUUGCUUUGGCCAUCAUGUGAUCUGAUGUUUGUUCUUUUUUUCUUUUUUUUUGCUUUCUUCAUGACUUAAGUUGAAAUUCUUUUGAAAGUAAAGCAAUGGGGGAUUUUAAGUCACAUCCUCAAAGUUUAACAUAACAAUGUUAAUAUUAAUUAAACAAUGGUAAAAAUGUAAGCCAGUAGUAUAAAACGUUUUUCUUUUAAUUAUCUUGACAAAUCUUAAACGAGUAGCACUUUUGUACAUCUUAAUCACAAACUUCUUCCCUUUUCUCAAGACGCUGAAUUUGAUGUCUUAACGGAUACACUCUAGCAUAAAACAGAGGAGUUCUCUUUUUAUAAUUCAGAUUCUUUCCUCUGGGUGAAUAAUUGCAGCUGAAAGUCCGGAAAGCUGCUAAUGACCCACAAAAAAUUAAAAUUAAAAUAACCUUAAUCUAUUUAAGUUCAUUCUGCAUACUAUUGUUGUUUUCUGAUGUUAACACCCACACACAAACACUUAGAAAUUUUAGAAAAUUUGGUUAAAUUUGUAAAUCAAUGAGCUCACUGUCAAAAUGGAUAGGCGGCAAUACUUCUGUUGUUCCCUAAUUUUUUUUAAUUUUUUUUGUGUAUUCAAUUUCUGGAUUCUCUCUUGCAUCUGUUGCUCCCUAAAUUCUUUCAAUUCAAUGUCUAAAUUGAUUGAUCAAGGCAGAAAAAUCUCUUGAGAUAGAGUAAUUAGCUUCAGUACUCUGUACUUCUGUUCUUAUAUGGUGUAGAUUCUCUACUUUUUGCUAUACCUCUUGUAUAUGGGAGAUUUUCACGUUACUAAAAUUAUUUACCUCAUCAAAUAUAUUAUUAUAUGUACUUCUUUGUUUAUCAGGUUAUGAGGAUCUGGUUCAGCUGAGAGAGAAAGAAAACUCAGAAAGGAAUGAGACUGCAGCUACACUUGCUGGUGGAAAAGGUAAGACUUGUUGUAACUUUUUUAUUUUUGAUGUUGGUGGCGGGGAAAGAAGGUAAGAUUGUAUUUGUUGGUUUUAGGAUUAUAAUUUUAAUAUUCUAUUAGUAACUUUUCUUUUUGGCUCUCGUUUUUGUGUCAAAAGAAAGUAACUUAAUAAAGAUCAAGAAAGUUAGCGCAGAAGCUACUCAUUUCCCUGCCAAAGUUGGUGGAAAUUUGCCGAUGGAUCUGGACCUUAUCCUCCACUCAAGACUUCUGGUAAUUUGCUUUGGUCAUCAUGUGAUCUGAUGUUUGUUCUUUUUUUCUUUUUCUUUUUUUUGCUUUCUUCAUGACUUAAGUUGAAAUUCUUUUGAAAGUAAAGCAAAGGAGGAUUUUAAGUCACGUCCUCAAAGUUUAACAUAACAAUGUUAAUAUUGAUUAAACAAUGGUAAAAAUGUAAGCCAGUAGUUUAAAACGUUUUUCGUUUAAUGAUCUUGACAAAUCUUAAAAGAGUAGCACUUAUGUACAUCUUACUCACAGGCUUCUUCCCUUUUCUCAAGACGCUGAAUUUGAUGUCUUACUGGAUACAUUCUGGCAUAAAACAGAGGUGUUCUCUGUUUAUAAUUCAGAUUCUUUCCUCUGUGUGAAUACUUGCAGCUGAAGAGUCCGGAAAGCUGCUAUUGACCCACAAAAUAUUAAAAUUAAAAUAACCUUAAUGUAUUUAAGUUCAUGCUGCAUAUUAUUAUUGUUUUCUGAUGUUAACACCCACACCAACACACACACACACUUAGAAAUUUUAGAAAAUUUGGUUAAAUUUGUAUUCAAGUCCAAUGAGCUUACUGUCGAAAUAGAUAGGUGCCAAUACUUCUGUUGUUCCCUUUUUUUUUUUUUCUAAUUCGAUUUCUGGAUUUGCUCUUGCAUCUGUUGUUCCCUAGUUUUUUUCAGUUCAAUGUCUAAAUUGCUUGAUCAAGGCAGCAAAAUCUCUUGAGAUAGAGUAAUUAGCUUCAGUACUCUAUAGUUUUGUUCUUAUAUGGCGUAGAUUCUCUACUCUUUUGUAUACCUCUUGUAUAUGGGAGAUUUUCACUUUACUAAAAUCAUUUACCUUAUCAAAAUAUAUUAUUAUAUGUACUUCUUUGUUUAUCAGGUCAUGAGGAUCUGGUUCAGCUGAGAGAGAAAGAAAACUCGGAAAGGAAUGAGACUGCAGCUACACUUGGUGGUGGAAAAGGUAAGACUUGUUGUAACUUUUUUAUUUUUGAUAUUGGUGGCGGGGAAAGAAGAUAAGAUUGUAUUUCUUUGUUUUAGGAUUAUACUUCUAAUAUUCUAUCAGUAACUUUUCUUUUUGGCUCUUGUUUUUGUGUCAAAAGAAAGUAACUUAACAAAGAUCAAGAAAGUUAGCGCAGAAGCUACUCAUUUCCCUGCCAAAGUUGGUGGAAAAUUUGCCGAUGGAUCUGGACCUUAUCCUCCACUCAAGACUUCUGGUAUUUUAGGAAAAAGAAGCAAUGAUAGUAGUGUUAUUACAAAGGCUGGAUCUGAAGUUCCUGCUACACAUACAUCUUACUCACAGGCUUCUUCCCUUUUCUCAAGACGCUGAAUUUGAUGCCUUAAUGGAUACACUCUGGCAUAAAACAGAGGUGUUCUCUGUUUAUAAUUCAGAUUCUUUCCUCUGUGUGAAUACUUGCAGCUGAAGAGUCCGGAAAGCUGCUAUUGACCCACAAAAUAUUAAAAUUAAAAUAACCUUAAUGUAUUUAAGUUCAUGCUGCAUAUUAUUAUUGUUUUCUGAUGUUAACACCCACACCAACACACACACACACUUAGAAAUUUUAGAAAAUUUGGUUAAAUUUGUAUUUAAGUUCAAUGAGCUCACUGUCGAAAUGGAUAAGUGCCAAUACUUCUGUUGUUCCCUUUCUUCUUUUUUUUCUAAUUUGAUUUCUGGAUUUGCUCUUGCAUCUGUUGUUCCCUAAAUUUUUUCAAUUCAAUGUCUAAAUUGCUUGAUCAAUGCAGCAAAAUCUCUUGAGAUAGAGUAAUUAUCUUCAGUACUCUAUAGUUUUAUUCUUAUAUGGUGUAGAUUCUCUACUUUUUUGUAUACCUCUUGUAUAUGGGAGAUUUUCACUUUACUAAAAUCAUUUACCUUAUCAAAAUAUAUUAUUAUAUGUACUUCUUUGUUUAUCAGGUAAUGAGGAUCUGGUUCAGCUGAGAGAGAAUGAAAACUCAGAAAGGAAUGAGACUGCAGCUACACUUGGUGGUGGAAAAGGUAAGACUUGUUGUAACUUUUUAUUUUGAUAUUGGUGGCGGGGAAAGAAGAUAAGAUUGUAUUUCUUUGUUUUAGGAUUAUACUUCUAAUAUUCUAUUAGUAACUUUUCUUUUUGGCUCUUGUUUUUGUGUCAAAAGAAAGUAACUUAAUAAAGAUCAAGAAAGUUAGCGCAGAAGCUACUCAUUUCCCUGCCAAAGUUGGUGGAAAAUUUGCUGAUGGAUCUGGACCUUAUCCUCCACUCAAGACUUCUGGUAUUUUAGGAAAAAGAAGCAAUGAUAGUAGUGUUAUUACAAAGGCUGGAUCUGAAGUUCCUGCUACAAGGGACAACAAAUUAGCUUCUGUUAAACAUGUCAAAGCUUGGCUCGCUUCUUGUGAUGAGCUGAAUGAAGAAAAAAAUGGCUCACCUUCAUUAUCUAAUUUACCGAGAAUGGAUCCAAGACCUCUCCAAAGGCCCAAGUUCAAGAAUCCUUACCAUGAAAGUCAAAAUUCCUUGGCUUCUCCAGGAGAGGAGGAGAAAAGCAUGGAUAAGGGCCACGAGUCUAAAAGAAUGAGAUCGCCAGCUUUUGAAGAAAAAGCAUCGACCAGGUCUGAUGAUAAUUCAUCACGGCGAUAUGAAGACAUUGAUGACUUCUUGGCUGAUAAAUGGAUACUGCAGAAGUUGGGACAAAAUGCAAAAGGAAAGAGAGUGGAAUUUCAUCAUCUGUUUGAUAAUACCUGGUAAGUUUAUUGUUACGUCAAGCUGACUACUAUACAUACUUAAAAUUUAUGCAACUUAAAUGAAAAUGAGUGCUGUGAUAUUCUGGAUUUGUAAUCAUGAUAGCAAUGAGUAAAGGGCAAUCAAUAGAGCUAGUGAAUUGCAUUGGGACUUAAGGAUAUAGUAGGAUAAAUAAAAGGAACAGUCUGUCUAUAGUAAGAAGUUUAAUUUGGGUGUUUAACUAGCGUGGCUUCCUUGCUGGUUCUUAAAUAUGAAAUUGUGUAGAAGAGCAUUCAUAUAAAUCUGUACCACACUCUCCUUGAGAUGUGCUAGUUUGACCUUUCAAUUUGUUUUCUUUUUCAGGCAUAGAGGGACUGUCGUAGAAGUCUUUGAAGGCUCAUCUGUUGUGUCUGUUGCUCUUGAUGAUGGGAACAUGAAGAAGUUGGAACUUGGAAAGCAAGGAAUUCGUUUAAUAUCUUCGAAGCAAAACUGUUGACUGCUAUUAAAAUUGGUUAUUAGAUGCAGCGUAUGUUGCGACUUUUGAUGUCAAGGGCAUGAGCAACUGCUGAUUCCCAGAGUUGUUCCUCUUUGGUUGACUCAAAGGAAGUAACUGAUCGUUGCAGGUUAAAAUUUCAAGGUUACUGCACCCUGCAUUGUGUGUUUGCUGCUUGUUAUCUAACCAUUGGUUACCAGAUUUACAUGUAAGGCGUUGGUUUGAUUCUGUUUUAUUGUCACCUUUUGUUUUCCAGUUUAUAGAUUCUCCUUUUGAGCCUUUUGGUGGCACUUUAAAUUAAUCUUGUUGAGUUUGCAGUUUUAAUGUAAAAUUUCUAGAGAUUACAAAGUUCUGCUCUUACUGGUAUUAACUCAGAAUAGAUGUCGUUGUUAUACUAUAAUAUAUAUAUUAUAGCCAGCUGAGCUCUUUUCAAUAUGAAUGGACUGAAAUCACCAUGAUACUACGAUAAAUUCCAUUAGAUAUAAUC
This 63596-nucleotide long non-coding RNA is filed under the name Solanum tuberosum (potato). RNAcentral describes it as "long non-coding RNA (STUB_LNC002084)". The record is from RNAcentral. Lineage: Eukaryota; Viridiplantae; Streptophyta; Magnoliopsida; Solanales; Solanaceae.